CCAUGGUCGCCUGCGGGGUAGAGCAAAACGAUAUUUUAGAACCAAGAAAAAAUUUGGCAUGACCUUCCCUAAAAAUAGGACCAAAAAGAAUGCAUAGUGCCAACAUUCUGGCCGAAACAGAAAUGAAUCAAAACAUUCCGGCAAAAUAUUGGCAACUAUCGCAUUUCAAAUACCGAUACCUUCAAACACAAACAUAUAUGCAACACCACAAACACUUGCAACACCACAAACAUACAUAGAUCUAGCUAGGCCACAAAAAGUGCAUGUGCACGUUGUUGGAGCGAGCUAGGGAGAAAAAAAGUAGAUCUACAUCAUGAAGAUAGCUUUCCCCUUACUUACCUAUAAAAAAAGGUAAUUUCACCACUUAAUUUUGAUGAAUCUAUGAUGGAAAUGAGGUGAGAAGGAGGAGGCAGCCGAAAGCUUGGAGAAGGAGGUGGAGGGAAUGAAGUGGGGAAAGUGAGUGGGUAGGUGUGGGGCUGUCCAAAAUAUUUUGUUGGGGUCUCAGGUUACUAAUGGCGCACCAUCAGCAAAUGCGUCAUUAGUUGCAAAAAAGUAAAAAAAAUAAAUAUAUAUACUAAUGGCUCAUCGGGUAAUAGUGCGCCAUUACUAGUCUAAACUAGUAAUGGCGCACUGUGGAACGGUGUGCCAUUACUAGUUUUGCAAAAAAAAUUACAGUAACGGCGCACUGUCUGCCUAGUGCAUCAUUAGUUUGUAUGGAAAAAUGGAAAAAAAUUAAUACUAAUGGCGCACCUUGUUUCUGGUGUCUUCCACACUAAUGACGCAUCACCAACCGAUGCGCCAUUAGUAUAUAGUAGUGGCGCACUGUUUCCAUGAUGCGCCAUUAAUAUCAAUCCUAUCUAUAGUCAUUUUCCUAGUAAUGUACUUUCCUCCUGCAGUAGCCCACAAACAAAAAUAUGCAUCGAUGGAAUUUUGUCCAUACCUAGUUUACAUCCACACCGUACACGUAGAAAGCGUUUCAUUAAAAAGAUUAACAUUCUUUAAAAUUCUAAAAUAAUGAUACAAGAGGUUUUUCGGUAGUAAAGCCACACGAUGCUUUACUCCAUGCAACGCAGCCAUCGCCACCAAAGACUCGUAAGGGGAACGCCAAGGGGUGCGCAACACAUUUCUUUUGUCCAAGAAAUGGUCCAAUGUGCUCACGAGGGCCACCCUUGUACGCACGGGGUUUCAAAAUUAGUUUAAAGAGAAAUCCCAGCAAGUUCACCAAGAUAUAUAUUUGGCUGAACUAUAGGCACCUAAAAAGAGAAGUCUAAAUAUAUGAUCAGCUAUGUUCAUACUAACCGAAUUCUGUAGAACACACACACACUGUGCUGUUUUUUCACAGAUUUUAAAAACCUUCGUGGGCUACAGUCUCCAGCCCUUGUUUUGGGCUUCCAUUUCCCCUCUUCUCGUUAUCAUCCAGUCCAGCAGAGCCCGCAUCGGUGAGGAGAUGAGCAGCCCCCACAACCACCGCCGCCGCCGCUCGUCGGCGGCGCCGCUGGAGGGCGAAGACCUCCUCUCAGAGAUCCUCGUCCGCCUCCCCCCGCUGCCAUCCUCCCUCCCCCGCGCAUUCCUCGUCUGCGAGCGCUGGCGCGGCAUCGUAUCCGACGCCCGAUUUCUCCGCCGCUUCCGCCUCCACCACCGCCGCAACCCUCCCCUCCUCGGUUGCUUCGUCCAAGGUAUCUCCCCCAUCCGUUUCGAACCUACGCUAGAGGCCCCCAAUCGCGUCCCGGAAGCCCGCUUCUCCUUCCCGAUUGACGCCGCACACACCUAUGUGAUCCUCGGAUGCCGCCAUGGCCUCAUGCUCAUCUUCCUCUGGCGGCGGAACCAGCUCCUGGUGUGGGAUCCCGUCACCGGUGACCGGCACCACCUAGACGUCCCCCCAGGGUUUGACAAUGAGGAGACCAGGAUCAAAGGAGCGGUGCUUCGUCCUGCCGGAGUUGCCCACCACUUCCAGGUUGUCUUGGUGGGCAACAGCGACAUACAACUUACACAGGCUGUGGCCUCGGUGUACUCGUCGGAGACCGGUCUAUGGAGUAAUCUCCUUUCGGCGCCUCUUCCGGCCGACGAUCCUGAUGUAGUCACCAGGGUUUACCAUGACAUGUGCUCCGUGAUGAUUGGGAAUUCCCUUCACUGGUUCCUUAUAGGGAAUUUCUGUGGAAUACUUGAGUUUAAUUUGGAUACGCAGAGCCUUAGUGUGAUACAUGCGCCAGUGGACGUCGAUGUCAACACUUGCUCCGUCACGGUUAUGCGGGCGGAGGGUGGUGGCCUUGGUUUCCUCUUCCUGUCGGACUACUGCGUCCAAGUAUGGAAGAGGAAGACGGACUGUGAUGGUGUAGCUUCAUGGGUGCUGGGAAGGACUGUUGCACUAGACAACCUACUUUCCAUGAAUUCAGAGGAGGGGAGUCAGAGCCCGAGGAUACUCGGGUUUGCUGAGGACAACAAUGUGGUGUUACUGUGGACAUUUAUCGGCGUCUUCAAAGUCCAUUUUGAAUCAUUGCAGUCUAAAAAACUUCUCGAAUCCUACCGCUUUUACCGCUGGUUUCACUAUUAUCCAUUCGAAGCUGUCUAUACUGCAGGUAAAAGUAAACCAAGUCAUUCGAUAUUCUUGUAUUAUUAUUGUUGAGUUAUGUGGUUUAUUCUAUGGAUGUCAGUAGAGUCUUUUUUUAUUUGUUGCUGGCCUAUUGACAUACUUAUGAAUUUCAUUAUGAUCAGAUACAACUGAUUUUUUACUCGAAUUAUAGAAGUAUGUUUAUAUCUAGUUAGUGCCGCCUUGUAGCUAUUUAACUGUUUCUUGGAAUCUCAUUGGUUCUUUGACUUCCUAUUCUUGUAGACGCGGGCAUAAUGUGAUUUGUUGGGAUAGGCAUGCUAUCUUGAUGUAUUGACUCAGCAGGUAACUAUCUGUUAGUAGCAGCAGGAUGAAAUUUGUUUCCUUUCCUGUCCUUCGGUGGUAGUUCCUGUUUUUGUUUUUGCUGCUUGCUACAUUUCAUUGAGUUUUUUUUUUCUGUUUAUUAGUCUGUCUAGUAUCAAAUUUGAUGAUGAUUUAUUUAUUGUUCCAUCAAUGCAAACAUUUGAUAACUAAAACGCCCCAGCAUUUGGCUUUAAACUUCUUAUAUUAAUAUGGGUUUGCAAUUUCUUUCACAUUAUUGCUCAUUCAGGAUCACUAUAAUACCCAAUGAUUGCUUGCGGUUAUUAUUGUAUAAUUAUGUGAAUCUUGAGCGGUUUAGUUAAAUAUUUUCUCAGAUAAUCUCAAUUUGUGAGAAACUCAGCAAAGCAAAGGUGUCUAUAUUUAUAGUUAAAUAUAGUUUGUCUGAUCCAAACUAUAAUUAUCCUUGUGCUUGACUGGGUAGGCAUUCGGCCAUUCCCCGUGUACUGGCACUCUGUUCAAAUGUUGGUUUCGUUUUCAAUGAAAAUGAUACCAAGCAGGGCCCUGUUCUUCUAAGAAAUUUUGGCUGUUGGUGUGGUUUCUGUGCAGUCCAUUUUCUUCGACUUUGAUCAUUGUGGAUGUUUAAUAAUUUUAGAACUGAACACAUGAUAAAAUUGACAAGACCAGAUAUAGCGAAAAACCUGAGAAUAUGCUAACAAUAGGAAUUGAAGGUGUGCCGCUACAAAGUAAUUGAUCUCCUACUGCUGUUCUCUCUAUAUAAUGUUAGUUUUGUCCAAUAGUGCUAAGUUGAUUCAGUUUUGAGUUUUUAUCGCAAUUUUCACAAUGUUGAAGCUAAUGUUUACUGUUUGAAUCAACAAAAAUUGUGAGAUAAGUUUGAACACUUUUUCCAUGAAUGGAUAUUGCAAAUCAGUCUGGCUGAUGGCAUUGGUUGCUCUGCAGGUACCAAGCAUUACAUUUCCGUUGUCUUGGAUGCAGAAAUGGACUAUUUGCUGUCGGUUCUUCCAUUCUGUAUGCUGCGCAUAGGGCCUUUGAUGUGAACUUGACCUUUUAUAUAUCAGGCCCUGGUAAAUGUGAUGUGACCUUGUAGCAAUUAACAUGUCUGGCCAACAGUAACUUGGGAUUAUUCUUCUCAGCUGUGAACUGCUGUCUGUUGUUUUAUCUCCGUAGGCAAUAUUCAAACUGGCAGGAAGAGAAAUUGGUUGAGCGUUGGCUCUGUCGCUGAAUCUUGCACUUCAUUUGCUUGCAUUCUGUAUACUGUUUUGUGUGUGCACAUAUAUUUUUCAGCAUGGUUUGCUCAUGUCCCACAAUAUUUGCUUAUGCCAAUGACAUUUCAUUAUUUCUGUGUGUUUGAAUGUGUACUGUAGUCCCACAGUAUCUGUGAAUUUGAGUUAAUUUCUUAAGAAAUGAAACGUACAGAUGAUGUAUAUAUAUACCCAUGCGCUUCAGUGUGCUGGGGACGUUGUGUUACCCCUUACAACCUGGAAAUUGGAUGAAUCUUCUUGUUUAGUAAAAGAAGUAGAAUGAAUCUUGCACUGUAGAAUCCUCUAUAUUAGAAGCCUCUUAAAAAAGAGGCCAUCUGAUGAGAAGUCCCUUGCACAGUAGAAUCCACUUCUGCUAUUAUAUACAAGGACUAAUAUAUAAUUAUAUAUCGACUGCUCAAGAACUAUUUCUUUAAAACGAGACAAAACCUUUGCCUUUUUCAUUAAAUAAGAAUGAGAUUGUUGCCCAGUUAAUAGUAGUAAGAAAUGUGUAGCCCAUUUCAAUUGUUUUGACAAGUUAAGGGUGAUAGCUUCUGUAUAGAAGAAGAAAAAAAAGAUCGCUGGUUCUUUUCUACAAAAAAAAUUCCAAAUGUAUCUUUUUUAGCUGAUAAGUUUCUUACUACUAUUUCCAAAGAAAUGUGUCGUUUCUACCAACUAGACGAUCACAAGUUGUUUACAAGAUUUCGCAUUUCAUCGACUGAGCCCUUCAUCCAUUUCCAAAGAAAUUUCCUUUUGAGCUGCAUUACAAAAGGCCUAGGAUAGCCUUAUACUGUAUUUAAAAAGGCAAAAGGAUUAGUUUUUGUUUUUUUUCAGGCAAGGCUCAAACUUCCUGCCGGGCCGCACAUACCGAGAGAUGAUGUGGUCGUGGGCUUCCUUCCAGUGGGCUUCCUUCUAGUGGGCUUUCACUCUCACUUGCAGGCACACCACCUGCUGCUCUUCUCACGCUGUGGCGGAUGCUUCGACCCCAGCAUUUCCCCGCAUAGCAGUAACCCUAAAAAAAAAAAAGCACAGCAGCGCGAGAUGUCGCCGGCGGCGGCGCCGCCGCUGGAGGACGACAACCUACUCUCCGAGAUCCUCCUCCGCCUCCCCCCGCUGCCGUCCACCCUCCCCCGCGCCUCCCUCGUCUGCAAGCGCUGGCGCCUCCUCGUCUCCGACCCCGGCUUCGUCCGCCGCUUCCGCGAGCACCACCGCCACAGCCCUCCCCUCCUCGGCUACCUCAUCCACGACAGCCGAGGCAUCUCGUACGACCCUAUCAUGGAUCCCCCCGACCGCGUCCCCGCCGGGCGCCUCUCCUUGCAGCUCGACCACGGCUACGGCUUCUCGCUCCUCGGCUGCCAACAUGGCCUUGUGCUCAUCUCCCACGAUUUACCGAGGCAGAUCCUGGUGUGGGACCCCGUCACCGGCGACCAGCACCGCAUCGCCUUUCCCCCAUGGGUCGACGGGAUCAAAAACCAGAUUCAUGGGGCGGUGCUUCGUGCUGCCGGCGAGGCGGGCCACUUCCAGGUGGUCCUGGUACAGGCCAGCAUAUGGGACAAACAGCAUUUGCAAGUGCUCGCCUGCGUUUAUUCGUCAGAGACCGGCGGAUGGGGCGAUCUUAUCUUAACACCAAUUCCAGCCCCGGUUUAUUGUAUGGGCUUGUCGGCCGUUUUGGUUGGGAAUUCCUUUUACUGGCGUCUUGCUGGGUGUUUCUGUGCUGUUCUCGAGUUUGAUUUGGAGAGGCAGAGCUUGGCUGUGAUACAAGUGCCAGUUGGUGAGGGGAAUAGCUUCACUGUUAUGCGGGCCGAGGGUGGUGGGCUAGGUUUACUCUCCCUGUCAGGCCUCACCGCACAAUUAUGGAAGAGGAAUACCGACUGUGAUGGUGUUGCAUCAUGGGGGAAGGGAAGGACCAUUCAACUGGACAAGCUACUUUCUCCGUAUUCACACGAGAUUGCGCCCCUAUUCAUAUUAGGGUUUGCACAUGAAAAUAAUGUGGUGUUCCUGACGGGUGGUGAUGGUGUCAUCAUGGUACAGCUUGAGUCAUUGCAAUCCAAGCAACUUUGCAGGGUUGACAACAUUUUUGAUCAACAUCAUCAUGCAUUCGAAAGUGUCUAUGCUGCAGGUAAUAGCAUGCCUUUACACUGAUAUGGAAUGCCAUUCACAUCCUCUCAUGUUAACCUAAAUUUUUUAAAUAGUGCCACAUAUUAAUUGAUUGUUUUGAUGUUUGAUGACCUCUUCAAUAUAUAUUGAUGUUGUGUUGUAGUGUUCUGUCCUGAUCCUGACGCUUGUGUGGUGGCGUUUUAUGUAAUGGUUAUGAACUAGCAAGUCAAUCUAGUAUAUGAAUAUCCAUAUGAACUGACGAGAAACACCAAAAUUGGCAAAUUUCCACGCUAAAUUUGUUUAAAGAUAAUCAAAAUCUGAAUAGUCAUUAUCACUUCUGUUGCUAUUAGUUAUUAGUAUGAGCUUCGUUUUGUUCAAAUGUUGGGGAAUGAGUUUUAAAACAAUUCUAGACAACUUCUCUUUUUUGUUAGCUAUAAUAGUCUGAGUGUGCAUGUUCUUCAUUUUUACGAUAUUAAUCACUAUACAUUGUUUGUGGGGAUGCUCUUUGAAUUUCACAAUGACUAUGGUUUUGUUAUAUAUUCCUAUUAUUGUAUCAAAGCUGAGUUGUUUUUUCUCAAAUUACACAUGUCAGUUUUAACUAAAUAUCUUGUUGGUGUUUUCUCCUGUCUAUUUGGCCUGCGGUUGGAAUUUCAUUGGUUGGUUCAUUGUUUGACUUAUUAUGCUUGUAGGAAUAGGCAUUGGCGGUGAACAUGAUGGGGCCGAACUUGUGGGCAAUCCAAAAGUGAUUGUCUGUUAGAUAUGCUUAUUAUGAUGUGCUGGUUGAGCAGGUAAGCUUAUUUUCUGCAUGUAAGUUGAGGUAUAUUGAAAUGUUCUUUCGAAAAACAAAUUGAUUUCCUUUUAACCACCGUUUGUCAAUUACCAAAUUGCAAGAGAGGACUCCAAGAUUCUCUCCAUGACACUUGGCUCAGUUGUUGCCCACCUGGCUACCUCAUAUCAUGUUUUCAUGGCUGGUUGCGUCUUGGAUAAUUUAUCCAUGCCGUGCUUCCUCAUCCCUAUCCUUACCAGCUUUCCAUUCCCUUCAUCAUUCUUUCACUUCACCAGCUUCUCAUGGCUGACUGAUGUUCUCCCUGCUGGAUGUGCCCUUUUGCUUGCCCUCCUUCCAUCCAGUUCCCUUGUGUUCAGUUUCUCUCCUCCUGGUUGUACGAACUCUUCUAUCUCUUACUCCCCCAGUUGCUUCUGGUAGUGCGGGUUCUUCUCCCUCUAGCUUCUCAGACGGCCAAUUGCUUGCAAUUAUUAUUUUCUGUACGUUUUUUUUCUGUUGGUAGGUAGUACACACCCCUCGUUGUCAAUGUAACUUGCAUAUGUGAUUCGCUAUUGGACACUAGUUUAGGUUGUCUGGUUUAAGCUACAUGUUGCUAUGUUUCAAUUUUGACACCCCUCCGUUUAGUUUUGUGUUGUAUCAUGAAUCACAAUUUUUACUUUUACUAACAUACACCCUCGGUUUAAAAAUACACUGCAUAUUAAAUUUUGGUAGGACAAACCUUUCACAAACGUUUACUCUAGUAGUAUGUAGCUUAUGUGAUACAAAAUCAUAACCAUAUAUAAGUACUUUGGAAUAUGAGUCAAAUGUCAAUAAUUUUAUGUCGCAUAAAUAUAUACUAAUAGCGUAACCAUUGGUCAAAGGUUUUUUCUAAUGAAACCUAAUGUGCAAUGUAUUUUGAAAUAUUAGUAAUGGUCUGGUGAGAGUGUUGUUUUUGUGAUGUUGUGCUGCGUAAAAAAUGACUUCUAUUUUCUACUGAAGGAGUUAUAAAUAAAUUAAUAAGAUAAUGUAUGAUCCCUUGCUUGAGGCUUGUAUGGCAUGAAUUUGAUUGUAUUCAAUUUGUUAGUAACCAGAUAGCUCGUACAUUUCCAAAACAUAUGCCUUUGAGUUAGAAACCAGAAUUAUCUGCUUUUCUAUUCCAUGAACCCGUCAUAUGUCCAUGAUAACAUAUUCAAUUUGUUAGUGGACGGGCUCUUAGCCUAGUGGUUGGAGCGCUGCUGUGCGUUCCAGCUGGCGCAGAUUCGAACCCCGUGGGCGUUAUUUGGCCAUACUGGUCAAUUUUGCGGGUUUGAACGUGGGUCUCACAUCUUCUCUCUUAAUUAAAAAAGCUGCAGGGCUCCUCCUCUACUGGUCUUUUUUUUUCUUAAAUAAAGAAUAUUUCAUAGGAUUUGCUUAGCUAGAUGGCUCAGGAUUUGCCUCUAUGGAAGGUAUUUGAACCACUCCUCUCUUAGCCUGUACUGAGACCAGAUGGCAAAAGUUCUCGAGAAUGCUAGCCCGUGGAAGUUGAUAGUGUGGCUACUACACUACAAAUUACCUAUUGCGAUACUCUGUUUCUAUGCCUUUUUUUUCCUCUUUUCUGGAUAAUGCUGAGAUGAUCAAACCUUGGAGUUAUUGGUACUAUUUCCACUUUUAUUUUAAAACAAAUGUGAGAUUUUAUAUAACUUUUAACUGGUUUUUCAUUAAUGAAUAGUAUAGAUUGGUUUGACUAAUGAUAUUGCUUGUUCACAGGUACCUAGAUCUGUACUAUUCUGGUUGCUGAGAUGCAGGAAUUGGCUUUGUCGCUGUGGGUUCUUCCAUAUUGUAUGCUUCAUACGGAGAUCAACCCUCUACAUUGCAUGCAUUGUUCAACUAGCAAGUGGACUUGCAGGAUUAAUCGUUCAACUUGCUAACUUCCCUCAGUUAUCUAAUUUCUGGACACAGCUAGCCAAUUGGCAUGAUGAAGACACAGUGACAUGCUUCGAAUAAUCAGUACCUGUGGUGCAUUUGCUUUAUGCUUUCCAAGCAAGCGGGUCGAAACAAUCUUGCCUGCCUGCCUGAUCUUUGCAUACAUCUUGUAUCUCUGUUCAUCGUUUCACUGUUUUCCGUUUGAUUAUGUUCCAUAUCGUAUCAAGGUUGGGAGACUUUGAUGUCAAUUUCUUAUGUGCCAUUUCUGUGUGUUUUUUUGGUUGAUCUUAUCUGAUUUUGGCUAAUGAAUGUUGGAUAUAUAGCACCUGCGGUCCUGGUGCUAUUUGUCACUGGAUAGCUCGGCCAGCAAUGCUUUGUCAUGCAAGCAUAUUUCAGAUGUUAGUGUACUGAUAUAUGGAGGUUGCUUGUUUCAGAUUCAGCCAAAGAGUUAAUUAUACUACAGUAGCAAGGAUAGAAGUUGCUUGUUUGACCAAUUUACUCAGACCAAUCCGGCGGUGGUUACUGGCAGAUCCGUCUUUGUCACCAAAAACUAAUAAUGCACUAGGAGAUUUAAGCUCAUUGCAGCUACAUGGUGUAGUGUGAUUGCGGUGGCUUAACUUGGUCAGUUGAAUGUUUAAAGUCGUUUUUCCUUUCUUUUAUUUUCUGUGUAGUGAACAGUGGAGCAAUGUGUUGGGGCAUCUGUAGCCGAACUAUUCGAAGGGUUAACGUCUCAAAAUAUGCUCUUUUGAGGAGUUAAUCCCACUCUAGCCGACUCUCGUUUGGUUUAACUUUUAAAAAGAGGUAAUAUCAAUGACAGUCAUAUAACUUGCAUAUGAUGUUCAGUUUGGUGCUAAAAGUUGUAAAAUACGCCAUUGCAGUCACAUAACUUGCCUAUGCGUGCAAAUACGGUCACUUCUUUUGUGUCCAGCCGUAUCUUGUGCUCACGUGUUGUGUCAGCAUGAAUACGGCCCACAUGUCGGGGGCUGUGAGUGGUGAGGUGUUGGGUCAGCCAUGCAUUACCUUUCUUUUGCAAAAAGCAUCUUUGAUUUUUAUUUAAUUACGCACAUCAAGGCACACAGUUUCUUUCAAGAAAGACGAAUAAAAUAGCGCCAGGGGACUAGAACGGACGUCCUCCAAACUAAGAGAUAACUACACUAGCCACUCGACCAAGAAUAAAUUGACAUCAAACUCACAAAUAAAAUUUUCUUUAAUACUAUGUUCGCUCAGCCCAACAAAAGAAUAAACGAAAACUAAAAACAUGUUCGUGUAACUCCCGCAGGAAUAAAAUGAUGUAAGAAAACAACUUAUAUUUUGUUGUUUGUGACGUUUCAAAAAUGUUCUAUGUUGUAAAAAAAAGUAUGUGAUAUUUUAAGAAAUUAAAAUUUUAACAAUAUUUGUGUAAUUAAAACAACUUUAAAAUUAUGCUGAACUAUAUUUCAUUUAUCUAGAUUUUCAACUUUAAAAUUAUUCGUAUUCGAAAAACCCCCGCUAAUUUGCCUGAAAGAAAUUUGUGUACAUUUAUUCUGCAAUAUAUCUUCUUUUAUCUAGAUUUUUAAAAUUUUAAUUAUUCGAAUUCAGAAGAAAUAGUUUAUUUGUCCGAAGAAUUUACGUACAAGCAUUCUGACCUAUAUUUUCCUUUAUCUAGCUUUAAAAAAUUAAAUUUAUUUGAAUUCAAACACAAUUUCCGUCUAUUUGUCCAAAAAUACGUGCAUUCAUUCUGCACUAGAUUGUUUAAGUUAAAAUUAUUCGAAUUUAAACAAAAAUGUAGUUUAUUUGUCUAAAAAAAUCAUGUACAUUCAUUCUGCACUAUAUUUCUUCUAUCUAGAUUUUUCAAAUUUAAUAUUAUACGAAUUCAAACAAAAUUUUAAUGAUUUUUUUGCGGGGAAAAGUUGAAUGAUUUGUCCGAAAAGUUUAUCUAGAAUAUAAGUUAUUUUCUUACAUAGAAAAAAGAAAAAAUACAAAAGAUAAAUUAUGUAUAUCUCUAUAAUUGCACAUGCGGUGAGCUAGCCAGGAGGUCAUAGGUUUGAACCGGGGCUAUCCCUUUUUUGCACAGCUUUUCCUGUUUAAAUUUCUACUUUCUUCGUAUUAUCCAUAUAAUAUGGAGCUAACUGUGCGUACUAAUCACCAAACAUCAGGUUUGUCGAGUAGUUCGAAGCCCAGCAUGUACCCGUCUUUUCAAUUUCAUUUGAGAAUUGUUCGCGUAGAUAAAAUGCAAGGGAUCAGAAAAGUUUGGUUUUAAUUUUAUUUGAGAAUUUUCUGCAUAAAUAAAUAAAAUGCAAGGAUUAAAAAACAGUGAAAAUGAGCCCCCACGACAUUGGCACGCCAUGUGUGCCUGGUACGGCCGGAUACAAAAGAAAGCACCGUAUAUGAACGAGAGGACAAGUUAGAUGACCAAAAACACGUAUUUUACGAGUUUAUGCACCAAACUGAACGUCCCGUGCAAGUUCUAUGACUCCCGGUGUAUUUACCUCUUUAAAAAAUGAGAAGUGUUCAUCAAUUCUCAAAUUUGAGCAACCGAAACGAAAGUCUCAACAAAAGAUUCCUUUUCGGCCGCUGCUCCCACCUCCUCGGCCGCCUCCAUGUCGGGGUUGCCUCUGUUGGCCCCCAUGCACGCCUAUUGACGCCCUGUAGCCCCCCGACCUUUCGCCCCUUCUUUGCUUCAAUCGCCACCGCAGCAAGAAAUGCCGCAUAUAGCUUAUGGAUGACUAGGGCCACCGUGGAACCUCGUUUUGUUGAAAACGGAUUCGUUGGAGGAGCACAAUGGCGUAGAGCGUCCGCACUUGAGCUAAACGGGACGGGGUCAUGACCACACCGAUGCGGCCGACUUGCUCGGGGUCAUGACCACACCGAUGCGGCCGGCUUGCUCGGCGAAGGGCGAGCAGGACUCCGAGGGUAAUCGAGCUCCUUGACGCCUGCAGGCCAUCGACUCGGCCCCGCCGUCCACUUACAGCCUUGACAUCGCUGCAAUGCGGCCCGUAGAGGCUCUCACCUCCUCUGCCUGCCAAGUUUUUGACGAAUCUCCUUGGUACAAUUAUUCACUUUUAUCUUUGUUUUCUACUUUUUGCAGUCAAAUUCGUCUUUCAUUAUUGCAAUUCGUAGAUGAAGAGGUUAAGGGAGAUGUUCUCGAUGUCUCUUUGUCCGAGUAGGAGGAAUAAGAUGACGAUGAUUUUGAGGGGGGGCAUUGUCAAGGAAGAACACAAGAGACCGAGACUAUGACCUCAGUUUGGUUGCUUUUGUGUCAAGCGUGAUAGGACAGAAGCCCAUGCCAAGCUUGUCCGAGAUUACUUUGCGCCUGAUGCAACAUAUCCAGAGAAGUAUUUUCGAGGGAGAUGUUGGAUGCACCGAAGUCUCUUGAACACUAUUGCAAAAGCUAUGGAGGGUCAUCUUCCUUGGAAUUGAGAAGGAAUGCAUCGAGAGAAAUUUUUGCAAGUCCAUUGAUGAAAUUUUUUGCAGCUUUUCAAGUGCUUGUCAAUGGGUGCUCAGCCAAAGCUAUUGAUGACUUCCACAUUGGGGAAGACACAAUCCUCGAGGCGGUUCGAAAAUUCACGCAAGCUGUGAUCGAGAUCUACAUAUCAGAUACUUGAGGGCACCCAAUGAUGAAGACACCAAGAGGCUUAUGGGUCUGGGUGAAGAACGAGGAUGGCAAUGGGAUGCUUGGAUCAAUUAAUUUUAUGUAUUGGACACGAAGAAUUAUCUUGCAUGAUGGAAAUGUUAGCACAAAAGGCAAUGCAAAGAUCCAAACAUCACCCCAGAGGCAGUUUCAUCUAAGGAUCUAUUUAGCACUCGUACUUUGGAUAGUCCAACUCUCAUAAUGACCUUAAUGUCUUUCCGAGACCAUCCUUGCUGCCAAAGAUGCUCCAGCUUGCAGCUAUGUUGUUAAUGGCCGUGAGUACACGAUGAGGGCAUCUAUCCUUCAUGAGCCAUAUUGUAAUACAAAUCCAACAUCCUCAAGGCAGCAAGAGAUCCCUCUUUGUAGGACGUCAAGAGUCAACAAGAAAGCAUGUUGAGAGAACUUUUCAUGUGCUUCAAAAGUGCUCUGUGUUUGAUUGUGAUCCUACCGAGUAUUGAAAGGCACAUGUCUUCUGACAAAUCAUGACCAUUGUGGAUCAGCGAGGAAUGCCAAAAAACUUUUGCUAUAACCCCAAUGGGGAUCCUAUCGAGUUGGAACACGGUGCAAACCAAAUCUAGAGCUGGGAUAGCGAGUUCAAUGCACAACUAGGAAACCACUGUAAACGCCCGAUGUCGAACGGAUACUAUGGGGAGAAAACCUAGAGCAACGCCAAAAUAAAACUAGCACUAUUACGACCAACGGCAAAAGAAAUCAGGUUCUAAACAUGAACCCAUAACACAGCAGACAAGCAACAUCCAAUGCUGCGAAAUGAAGACACCCUCCAACACUAGUUGAACCUAGAGCAUAGCGCACAAUCUUCACUCCCCCCUUCAAUCGACCUCAUGGAGAUCCUCAUCACGUUCAUUGUGUUAGAGCGAAUCAUGUCAACUCCAGUUCGCAGUCUACUUGCUUCACCCUCUUUGUGAGAAAAGAGCACUGAAAAAUAUAUAUGAGAAAAGAGCACUGAAAAAUAUGAUCUCAAAAGGAGUUUUAAUUAUCUUGUGCUCAAAUGUUGCUCGAUUUCGAGAAAACCAAAUGACAGCAAGGCCCGCAGUGUGAAAAAAUUUCUCACUAAAUAGGAAAGAGUAACACCAAGAGAAAUAUUGCCAAUGAUUGCUAGGAGAUAGAUCAGUUCCCAACACUACUCCAAUGAAUCUAAAAUUUGCUCAUGUGAGGGUACGAAACCAGGACACCACCAACUGUCCGGAAGGACAGAAGCCACCCGAGCCAGACAAUGGUUGUUGAAUAUGAAUAGUUAAAUUUGUAAACUUUGAAUUUGUAAUAUUGUUGAAUUGUGUGAACCUAAGUUAUCAAGUUCUCACUUAGUACGGGUGCAAAUAUCCAGUUGAAAACGGAGCACGUAAACGAAAAGAUAGAAGAGUUGGCGCAUAAUGAUUUUCUUAGGGAGUUAGUUUUUUGAACUCCUUGCAUCUAAGUUGAGUGAGUUAAGGUUUGAGCAAGUGUUUGAUGAGUUAAAUUUUGGGAAUUCGGUUAGAAAAAUGCACUCCUUUAUCCCUAAACACACAUCCGAAAACAGAACAACGCCCCCUUUUCCCUUGCGCUUCUCCCCCCAUUCCGUACGCACGCCUCGCCGUGGGAGCUCCCCUCGGCAUGGCCUCCUCCUCGCCGCCCCCGAGCUCCACCGCCUCCCGCGACGACGACGACGACGACCGCCGCCAAGGUACCGCCCGCGUCCACCCCUCUCCCCCCUCCCUCCCACGCCUUUCCCUUCCACCCCUUGGUUUCUAUCUUCUCCGGCAAGAACAAGGCCACCGCGCAGCCCGCGCCCGCUCCGACGACCCUCUUCUCUCCUCUCACCAUCACCGACGACGGGAGCAUCCGCGCGCGCGCAGCCCGCCGCCGAUCUCGCAUUCCCCCCUCCGCUCCCUCUGCUCCGCGCACGAGACGAGGGUUCUGCGAGGGUUUUAAAUCAAAUUAAUUCCACUCCAGUCAUUCAAUUCCGUCCGUCUAUGGCGCAGAUGCGAUGUGGGAGAGGCGGACGCACGCGAGGAUCCUGGUCUCGGACGCCGACGCGGGCUGCAUCAUCGGCAAGGCCGGCUCCGACGUCCACGCCAUGGAGGCCCGCUCCGGGGCCCACAUCAAGCUCUCCGGGCGAGGCCGGCCCCUCCCCGGUACGGACCGCAGGGUCGUCCUCGUCUCCGGCCUCUUCCGCACCGUCAUGGACGCCGCAGAGCUCGUCCUCGAGAAGCUCUUCUACCUGGUAAUAAAGUCGUAGACCAGACAUUCAGAUUCAGGGCCAUCGCCCUCUGCCUCCCUGUAAAACAUUUCUUCAGAGUUACACUCAGUCGACUGAAUUGGUUCAGAGCAGUUUCAUCUUCUCCUGUUGAUUGAUGGAUUGAUCCUCUGCUCUGCUCUGCUUGCAGGGCGACCAGGUGAUUGACGCUGAGGCCACCGUGGUGCUCGUGGUGCCCGACGCCUGCUGCGGCGCGCUCAUCGGCAAAGGAGGGGAGGUCAUCAAGUAUGAUUACUUACUUACAUUGCCUUCCCGUUCUCAUGCUCAAUAUUGCUGUGCUUGCUUGUUCUGCUUACUCUGCCUGCAAUGAACCAUAUGAUAUAUGCUCUCCACCACACAAGGCCCAAGGACGGUGCAGUGCAAGUGCCCCCCUUGCUCUCUAUCUAUCUACACACAUGUUUGGUUUACGGCAGCGCAAUUACAUGUUUGGCGAGCCUUCCUCUGCCGCCGUCGCUGAAAUGUGAUCAUGAGUUUCGUCCAUUCGGAGGGAUAAUUCAUAACAGUUUGCAGCACAUUACUAUACUACCUGUUCUGUCAUCUCCGUAUCUACCUAGUACAUUUGAUUGGCCGCUGUGGAAUUGCAUAUUUUGGAGCCUUGUUUGGAAUCGUCAUGAAAAAAUACGUCUGCCGGCAUUGCUGAAAUUGCAAUGCAAGUGACCCUUUUAUCUGUAUCUGUUCCAACGGUGCUGCUGUUAUUUAAUUACUGUCUUUAAGCCAUGUUUGUGUAUGUCAUCGCACGUAAACAGAGGCGUGCUGUACGUUCCAGCUUCAGCUCUGCUUCUUCAGUUCCACUAUAUGGGAGUAGUUUUAGCUUCCAUUUACUAUUCAGAACAUUAGCUUGCGUUUACUAUUUGGGGGCCUGCCCUCCACGGCUCCACCAGCACCCGUCAUCAUAUUUCAUCUUCUUUUAAUUCUACUUCUCAGAUAUUCCAAAUCUGAUAUCUGUUCCCCUUUUUGUUCAUCAUCCAGGUCCUUAGCUGAGGAGUCAAAUGCUGGAAUCAUGGUCUCACCCCACGACAUCUGCUACGGUUUCCAUGAUAGACUGGUUACGAUCACUGGACACUUGGACAAUCAGCUGCAGGCAGUAUUUCUUAUACUGUCCGAGUUGCUUGACGACGUCCGCUACUCAUCCUCCGUUGCAAGUAUGUCUGCAUAACUUUCAUUUAGCACUGGUAUUUCUGUUUUUGUCGUUUUAUCCAUUGCCUGCUACCCAAUUUGUUGCAUGUUGUCUGCCUUGAGGCAUUUUAGUUUAGUGGACUAUCUACCACAGGCUCAAAGACUUGCAGUAAGAUUGAACCUGAGCAAUGCGUCGCUUCCUAAUCGUUUCUGCUAUGUUUACGUGCCGACGUGAUCGAUUAGCAUUACAAUUUGCUGGCACUGAGGUGCUACCUACUAGCUCGUAUGCUAUCACCUUUUGCAGUAACUAAUUGGCUCAUCGCAUUUCUCAAAAACUCAGGCCUUAGUUUUCCAAGUUCAAGUGUUCGGUAUGGCGGUGAUGGGCAAGAUGAGCAUGUCGAAAGAUACCACAGCAGGGUAAGACAUCGUUGCUGAAUUGAAAUACACAUGUACAUGUUGUGAUAAGAUAUCCUCUUAACCUGGAUUGGAUUGCCUUCUCUUCAUGUAUAGUUGGUCUGUUCAAUGAAGCUUCUCUUCUCGGUACAUGUCUGGCUAACAAUAACAAGUGUUUAGAAUUUAAUAGGAAGUGAGGGGAGUUUAGAAGAGUAUGAGAAAAAAAAAGGUUUUGUUCUCUAUUUCUUUUAUUCUGUCGUAAUGCUUGUUGGUCAUCCACUAGAGUAGAAUCUUGAUUUUCUGUCAGAGGUAAUCGUUGUCAAAUGACAAGAAAGUACAUAAUUUCAAUGCAGAAAAUUAAAGUUCUUAUUAUAGUCAUGUAAAAUACCGUAGGUUCACUCCUACUGUCUAGUAUAUUUUAUGCUUCAAAAAAUAUAAAGCAUGUGCUGACUGUUAUAUUUGUAAAGAAGAAAUAUAUUUUAUUUUUGUCAAAGGACUCACCCUAAUCCAACAGGCAUAUUAUUGAAAUGAAAUUGUGGGCUUGACUCUAACCUGUUAAUCUGAUUUACAUAUGCAAACGUUUGUGUAGUUUCAUGCACCCAAUUAAGUCCCAAGUCCCUUUUCGCUUCAUAUUCGCAUCAUUAUCCAGGGACCAUAAAACACCUCUCGCUAUUUUCAUAUAUAGUGGUUGCAAAUUAUCUACCGUUCAUGCCCAGUGUACCAAAUAAGCCUCCGCCGCGAAACCUGAACCAUCUUCUCAUUGAAUUCGUUAGCCUGACACACCCGUGAGAUCGCCUGACUACGACAGCCAUGUGCAAGGGACCCUCACCAUGGGUGUCGCGGACGAGUACGUGGGCGCUGUCAUUGGCUAUGGCGGGAGGACCAUACAAGAGAUCGAACGGGCACGUACAUAUCUCUCCCGCACCACCGAAACGCAACCACAAACAGUUAAGCAACAGGGCUAUGUUUUGGACUAAUGGUUCGUCGUCGGAGUGCAGGUUACGGGCGUGCAGAUCAAAAUCGUGAAGGGGGAGUUCAUACCUGGGACGAACGAGAGGUAGGUACUACAGCAGGUUUUAGUCGGUGUUUGCGUGUUCUUUACCCGCGAAAUCAGGCCCGCCUGAAUGUCAUUUAACCUGCACUGUGUGUGUGGUGCAGGGAGGUGGUGAUCAGCGGGACACGGGAGGCGGUCGAUGCGGCGGAGGCGAUGAUCGUGCAGCGGGUCUCGGACGCCGCCAAAGGUCGCCGCUGGCAGCAGGGUGGCGGCGGUGGCGACAGGCGGCCUGUGAAGGAAGUGGAGUAGCAGCGGUAGUAGCGGUGAUACAGCAGAGCAGAGCAUAGUACUGAAUUACUGCUGGUGGUGGUAGUAGAACAAGAGAUGUCCCAAGUUUUUUGGUCCCUUGCGUGUUGCUGGAGAAGUUAAUUAGCAAGAAUUAGUUGGGAGGGGAAGGCAUGGUGCAAUCACUGAUGGUUGCACGGCUAGUUUUGGUUUUGGUCAAUAUUGCUUCCAUGUUUGAUACUAGUGUAUGUAUCCGUGCCUUGUGUUUCAGUGAGAGGAUGGACGGAUUAUUCCUCUGGAUUUGAUUUAUCCAGCCCAAGAGGAGAGGAGUUUUGAAAUGGAAGUCUUAAGCAAAGUUGUUUUUACUUGCACACAAAGGCCCUGUUCGGUAAUCACCCGCUCCCAAAAUCUACGGAGCGGCGAAACUGUAGCUCCUCUGAUUUGAACUGCAGCUCCGCCAACUCCGCUCCUGGAGUUGUGGAGCGGAGCGGUACCGAACAGGGCCAAACUUGGAUGAUCUGAUCCGUCCUCGCUUCCCUUCUGGGCUUCUCCCCACUUCCAUAGAGCUCNNNNNNNNNNNNNNNNNNNNNNNNNNNNNNNNNNNNNNNNNNNNNNNNNNNNNNNNNNNNNNNNNNNNNNNNNNNNNNNNNNNNNNNNNNNNNNNNNNNNNNNNNNNNNNNNNNNNNNNNNNNNNNNNNNNNNNNNNNNNNNNNNNNNNNNNNNNNNNNNNNNNNNNNNNNNNNNNNNNNNNNNNNNNNNNNNNNNNNNNNNNNNNNNNNNNNNNNNNACUCCACCUUGUUAGGUUGAUCUCCUCUGUGCAGGCCCAACGGCCUGCCAGGCCCUUGAUCAAUGCGCCUUGAUCGGGGGCGCCCAACCCAUUAUGGUUGGUGGGCCUCUGUGACCCGCGCUAUAUAAACAAAGAUGGGGGCCGGGGCACGACUUACGAGGUUAAUCGCUGCCGCAAACCCCACCGAUAUUCCCUACCGAUUUAGGGUUAGCGCGGUGCUCACGGAAAGCUCCACUACCGCCGCCAUCCACUCACUGCCAUCACCGGCCACCGUCACCAUGGCCGGCACCGGGAGUUCCUCAUCUGGACCAGGAGAAGGUAGGUUCACCAGGAGUUUCUAGCCUAUCCGAUCCAGAGACUCUAUCAAUGGUAUCAGAGCCAUUUUUCUCACUAUCAGUUGCAACUCCACCAAUGCUAACUAUGGGGGUAGACUAGAACCUGUCCGUCAGGAGCCGACUGAACCCGUUGUUGAGCAUGAAAGGGAGGUGCAACAGCAAAUUUUAGAAGAAGUGCCAGAAGUUGAGGCACAGAAUGUGCCAGAAACCGAGGCCCUUAGAAGGUCUACAAGACACCAAAAGUCAGCUAUUUCUACUGAUUAUAAAGUUUAUAACACGGAAAUAGUUCAUACAGAAAAAGAUCCCACCUCAUAUGAAGAAGCCAUGAGAAGCCCUCAUUCAUCGAUGUGGAUAAAGGCAAUGAAAGACGAGAUGAAAACGAUGAGUUCCAAAGAUGUUUGGGACUUAGAGGAAAUUCCUAAAGGAGUCUAAACAGUAGGCUACAAAUGGGUCUAUAAAAUUAAGUAUAACUUUAAAAGGAAUGUAGAAAAGUAUAAAGCACGACUCGUGGCAAAAGGAUUUACGCAAAGAGAAGGGAUAUAUUACAAUGAGACAUUUUCUCCAGUCUCAUGUAAGGAUUCCUUCAGAAUCAUAAUGGCAUUAGUUGCUCAUUUUGAUUUAGAGUUGCAUCAAAUGGAUGUAAAGACGGCAUUUCUCAAUAGGGAUUUAAAAGAAAAUGUCUACAUGAAACAACCCAAGGGUUUUAUCAUGGAAGGCAAGGAAAAUAUGGGAUGCCGCCUGAAGAAAUCCAUUUAUGGAUUAAAGCAAGCCUCUAGACAGUGGUAUCUAAAGUUUAAUCAAACGAUUAAAAGUUUAGGAUUUAAAGAAAAAAUUGAGGAUAACUGCAUUUAUGCAAAGUUUAAAAUGGAAAAUAUAUUUUCCUAAUCUUGUAUGUGGAUGAUAUCCUGCUUGCUAGCAGUGAUGUUAGUCUACUACAAGAAACAAAGAAGUUCUUAUUCUUAGAUUUUGACAUAACAGAUCUUGGUGAAGCAUCAUAUGUUUUGGGCAUAGAAAUUCAUCGAGAUAGGAACAAUGGAGUCUUAGGACUAUCGCACAAGGGAUAAUUUGAAAAAGGUUCUUAAAAAGUAUAAUAUGCAUGCGAGCCACACCUGCUCCUAUAUUCAAGGGUGAUAGUUUUGGGAAAUUCCAAUGUCCCAAGAAUUAGUACGAGAUCGAUCAAAUGAAAGCAGUACCAUAUGCUUUGGCUGUUGGCAGCUUACAGUAUGCACAAGUGUGCACUCGCCCUGUCUUAGCUUUUAUCACCGGGGUACUCGGUAGAUAUGAAGAGAAUCCAGGCAUAGAGCACUGGAAGAUGGUAAAUAAAGCAUUGCGUUAUGCACAAGACACGAAGGACUACAUGCUAAUAUACAGGAGAAGUGAUUUCCUAGAGAUAAAAGGGUAUUCCGACGCAGAUUUUGCGGGGAAGAGAGAUGGUAGAAAAUCCUCGUCAGGAUACGUAUUCACUCUCGCUGAGGGAGCUAUUCGUGGAAAAGCUCCAAGCAGUCGAUAGUUGCAUCAUCCACGAUGUAUGCAGAAUUUAUAGCAUGCUUCGAGCCCACGGGGCAGGCGAUAUGGCUAAAGAAAUUUAUACCCGACUUGAAAGUGGUAGAUUGUAUUCACAAACCACUAAAGAUGUACUGUGACAAUCAAUCCGCAGUAUUUUACGCUCACAACAAGUCGAGUAAUGCUGCCAAAACAAUAGAGAUAAGGUAUUAUGUUGUGAAAUAUAAAAUCCAGGAUCAAACUAUAAGUCUCGAGCAUAUAAGGACAAAGGAUAUGCUUGCGGAUCCGCUAACGAAAGGCUUACCACCCAAUGUGUUCAAGAAACACUUAGCCGGCAUGGGUUUAAGGGAAAGCCUUAUGAUUUCUGGAUAGGCCCAAAAGGAAUAGAAUUUGCUUCUGAACAUAACGUAUGUUGUAGCUGUAUGAUUCUAUCGGCAAUUAAGUUGUGACGAUGAAACAUGUUCUAUGUACCAAUAUAUGAUGAAACAAAUAAACUAGAAAGUAUAAAGUUAAAAAUAAAGUUGAGAUCAAGGGUGAGAAUGUUAGGUUGGUCUCCUCUGUGCAGGCCCAACGGCCUGCCAGGCCCUUGGUCAAUGUGCCCUGAUCGGGGGCGCCCAACCCAUUAUGGUUGGUGGACCCCCAUGACCCGCGCUAUAUAAACAAAGGUGGGGGCCGGGGCACGACUUACGAGGUUAAUCGCUGCCGCAAACCCCACCGAUAUUCCCUACCGAUCUAGGAUUAUCGCGGUGCUCACGGAAAGCUCCACUACCGCCGCCAUCCACUCACUGCCAUCACCGGCCACCGUCACCAUGGCCGGCAUCAGGAGUUCCUCAUCUAGUCCAGGAGAAGGUAGGUUCACCGGGAGUUUCUAGCCUAUCCGAUCCAGAGACUCUAUCACACCCUUCCCACAUCCCCCCUCCCGACCUCAUCGGCAUACAACGAUGUUUGUUUGUUUGAGCUUUAAUGUGUUCCUGAGCUCACCGCAAAUGUUCACGAAGCAAGGCAAGAAAAUCUUUCCGGUCCGCCGCCUACUCUGCUAGGGAAGUAGGUCACCGGUGUCAAUUGACAGUACCGAAAUUAGGCUCAAUUCCAUACAAAAGCUUUCAAGGGUGACAAGUGGUCAUAUUUUUAAGAGUAGGUUAUUAUCUACUGCCUCCGUUCCUAAAUAUUUGUCUUUUUAGACAUUUCAAAUGACUACUACAUAUGAAUGUAUGUAGACAUAUUUUAAAGUGUAGAUUCAUUUAUUUUGAUUCGUAUGUAGUCAUUUAUUAAAAUGCCUAGAAAGACAAGUAUUUAGAAACGGAGGAAGUAAAAAGAAGUAGGUAGGUUGUUAAUACUCCCUCCAUUCCUUAUUUUAAAACAUCCUUGGGCUUCUUCGUGGGCUUCAGUAUGCAUUUAGCACUGAAGCGAAUGAAAUAAUUUUUAUUGAUCAAAGAAAGAUGGUAAAAAGGGUCUAAAAUUGAUGUAUGAAAAAACACGGCCAACUGAGACCCUCGGUAUAAACAAAGUUACAUCAAGUUUAACCACUUGGCAUGAGUGGUAAACUAUAUCAAAAAUAAUUGUACAAUAAAAAAAAGUUUGACCAAACUUGUCGUUUCUUGAUCACCCAUUCACAUCGGUGGGUUCUUACAAGCCUCUAGUGAAAAACCUGCAACAGAUAUGUUUGACAAAGUCGCAUGACCCUCACAUCCCAAUUGCGGAACUAAAAGACCGCUUGCUGAAUACAACAAGCCCAGGUGACAAAUUAAAUUGCUUGAAAGGAAGGAUGCCGAAAUAAUGAUUCAUUAAUGAGACGGGUAUAAAUAAAGAGUUCAAAAGCACGAAAAAAGAGAGGAGAGAUGUGGCCAAAACUCAAAAACAUCAUCGCUAUCACAAACAAAAAUAUGUGCCAAUGUUGUUUGUGUGAAGUCCAGAAAAGAAAAUAUGUAACAGUGAAAUUUUAUAAAGACACACUUACAUCCGUAUGUACAUGUACAAAAAAAAUCCAGAUUUAUUUGAUAUAGUGAGUUAUUUUAAAAAGUGGUACACGUCCAAAAAGAGUUUUUCGAUGGAAUAAAGCCACAUGUACUUCAUUUCACAAUCUUUUUUUUUUGCGGAAGACUUCAUUUCAUAAUCAUACAACAUCAUGUUCACUGCGACGGUGGUGAAACAUGGUUCAUUUGUUCCACACCAGUACACACAACAUUUCGAACUUGCAUGUUUAAAAUAAACUCUGAAUAUCCUCAAGAAAACAUAGUAGGAACUAGGGAUGAAUUAUAGCCGCCUAAAAACCAUCCAGAAAUAUGAUUAGUUGAGUUCUAGAGAGAACAACGACAAAAGGUAGCACAACAAUUCUGCAGGACACAAGUGGUCAUAUUUUUAGAAGUAGGUUAUUAUUAUCUAAAAAUAAGUAGGUUGAUCCGGUACAUCCCUACAUAUCACUAUGUUGUUUUGAGGUUUUCAUUUCCCUGACAAUUCACAAACUUCAAAACCUUCUUGGGGUUUUCACUCUUCGUGGGCUUUCAGUCUCCAAACCUUGUUUUGGGCUUCCCUUUCUUUUGGGCUCUUCUUCGUCCAAACUCUCUACACCGUCCAUUUCGAACCUACGCUGGAGGCCCCCAAUCGCGUCCCGGAAGCCCGCUUCUCCUUUCCCAUCGACGCCCGCGACGCCUUCAUGAUCCUCGGAUGCCGCCAUGGCCUCAUGCUCAUCUCUCUUUGGACGUUGAACGUGCUCCUGGUACGGGAUCCCGUCACGGGUGACCAGCACUUCCUAGACAUCCCCCCAGGGUUCGACAAGGAGGAAACCGUGAUUAACGGGGCGGUGCUUCGUGCUGCCGGAGAGGCCCACCAUUUCCAGGUUGUCUUGGUAGGCAACAACGACGUACAGCUUACACAGGCUGUGGCCUUGGUGUACUCGUCGGAGACCGGUGUAUGGGGUGAUCUCACCUCGACACUGCUUCCGACCAAGGAUCCUACCAGUGAUGUACCCACCACGAUUUUGGUCGUCUGCUCUGUGAUGGUUGGGAGUUCCAUUUACUGGAUGCUUACUGGGAAUUGGUUUGGAAUACUUGAAUUUAAUGUGGAUAGGCAGAGCCUAAGUGUGAUUGAUGUGCCAGUGGACGUCGAUGCGGGGAGGUGCUCCUUCACGGUUAUGCAUGCGGAGGGUGGUGGCCUUGGUUUCCUCUUCCUGUCGGGCUACUGCAUCGAAUUAUGGAAGAGGAAGACGGACUGUGAUGGUGUAGCUUCAUGGGUGCUGGGAAGAACUGUUGCACUAGACAAGCCACUUUCCAUGAAUUCAGAGGAGGGGAGUCAAAGCCCAAGGAUACUCUGGUUUGCUGAGGACAAUAAUGCGGUGUUAGUGCGGACAUUUAUCGGCAUCUUCAUGGUCCAGUUUGAAUCAUUGCAGUUUAAGAAACUUUUUGAAUCCUACUGCUGGUUUCACUUUUAUCCAUUUGAAGGUGUCUAUACCGCAGGUAAAAAGAAACAAAGUUAGUAUUAUAUAGUCUUGUAUUGUUGUUAUUGUGUUAUGUGGUUUGAGUCAGAGGUAGCAGACACUUCAUCUGUUUAUUCUAUGGAUGUCCAUACAGUAAAACAACGGACAUGAUGAUUUGCAGAAGCAAUUUAUUUGAGGUGGAUUGGCAUAUUAUGUGUAUAAUAAGUGAACUAUUUUCGUUAUUGUUGCAGGCCUAUUGACAUGGUCAAGGGUUUCAUUAUGAGAUAGAACUGAAUUUUUUUCUCGAAUUAUAGCAGUGUGUUUAUCUAAAUGUUCGUUGGAAUCUCAUUGGUUCCUUGACUUCCUAUUUUUGUAGAUGCUCGCAUUGAUGAUGGACAUGGUGGAGCUAAACUUUUGCGCGAUACAUAGUAUGAUCUGUCUGGAUAGAUGCUAUCUUGAAUUCGUGAUGUAUUGGUCAGGUGACUAUUUGUUAGUGGUAGCAGAAUGAAAUAUUUUCCCUUUCCUUUCCUUUUCCUGGUUGCUAUGUCGCAUUUUUUUUUCUGUGGUUAUGGAUCUGUCAAGUUUGAGGAUGAUUUAUCUGUUGUUCCCUGAAUUCAGAUUUGUAUUGGUAACUAACACCACCUGUCCACCUCAGCUCUUGGCUUCAUACUUCCUUUGUUAUACAUGCUUCACACUAUUGCUUUCUUAGGGAAAACAUUUCACAUUACUGCUCAUCCAGGAACAUUAUAAUACAUAAUGCUCGCUUGCAAAUAUUGUACAAUUAUGCUAAUUUUAGGCAGGUCUAGUUAAAUAUUUUCACGACGUAUAUCUAUUUGUCAGUCUAAUUCUCAUAACCUCCAACAUAGCGUGUCUUAUCCAAAGUACAUAUUGGCUGUUGUAGUGGUUUAUGUGCAGUAUAAUUUCUCCGACUUUUGUCAUUAUAGAUGCUUAAUAAUUUCUGUACUGAAUCCAUGAUCAAAAUUGUUAGAGUUAUAUAUAUAUAGCCAUGUAACCUUUCGUAUUUACCCUAUUGUAUAAGGGGUUUCCUGCAUAUAUUCCACACCUGUACAUGUAUAUAUACUGGCCUAUGGCCAUCUGGAAAUACAAGUUGCAUAUUUCCUAACAUGGUAUUAGAGCUAGGUCAAUUUUUUACACGCCGCAACUCGUGCCAUUGAUCUGCUACUCCAGCCGCUGGGUUUCAUCUGCCUGCCUCGCCCCGCGGUCUUCCUCUGCCCCUCCUGAUCGAUCUGAUCGCCCGCCAGGUCUCCCGAUCAAUCUGGUCGCUCCGCCCUGCCCCGCAGUUGGGCCUUGGGCCUCUCCCGAUCUGGUUACUUCUUCCGAUCUGGUCGCUGUCGCUCCACAGAUGGGGCUUCUCCCCAUCGGUCGCUCGUCCCGCAGUCUUUGUUCGCCUCGUCACCAACCCAGGCGCCGUCUCGUACAAGCUCCGUCGCCCGCCAGAUCGUGUCCUGGACCAGGAUCUCAGCCACCAGCUACCAAUCCCGGAUCCCAGACCGCAGUCCUGCCCAUCCGCCAGGUCCUGCCCACGAUCUAGCCGCCAGGUCGUCGCUACUGUAGCCGGGUCCCACCUGCCCUCGAUCCAGGAUCCUGAUCGUCUAUCCAAAAAAAAGGCGUGAUGUCUCUGUCCUCCGGCUAUGUUGCUGUUCCUCGCUGUCCGAUGACUUUUGAUGGUACCAACUACAUUGAGUUUGUCGGCUUCAUGCGCAUUCACAUGCGUGGCCUUCAUCUCUGGCGCGUUCUUUCUGGCGAGGUCCCCAGUCCGCCGUGUCCAGUUCCUCCUGUGGCUCCUACUCCACCGACGCCACCGGUUCUUGCUGCCGACGCUGAUCAGGCUGCAAAGGAUGCCGCUAAGCUGGCUGAUGACGCUGCCGUUCUUGCUUAUGAUGAGCAAGUUCAGACCUAUGUGCACGCACUUCAGACUUAUCAUGCAGCUCUGUCUGCUUACACUCAGUGGCUUGAUGAUGAUGCUCGUGCUGCCGCUGUUCUCACUGCUAGUGUUCUGCCUCAGUUUGCCUCUGAGUUUCUUGGCCUCUCUACUAUAUUUGAGAUCUGGACUCGGCUUCGUCAGCGCUAUCAGCCCUCUGGUGAUGCCUUAUACCUGUCUGUGGUUCGUCAGGAGCAUGCUCUUCAGCAGGGUGACUCCACUGUUGAUGAGUUCUAUGCACAGAGUUCUGCUAUCUGGCGUCAGCUUGAUUCUCUCCGCACUGCUGGUUGCCGUACUUGUCAGUGUUGCCAGGCUGUGCGGGCUGAUUUGGAGUUUCAUCGUGUCUACGAGUUCUUGUCUCGACUCCGUAAGGAGUUUGAGCCCCGGCGCGCUCAGUUGUUUGCUCGUGGUCAUAUCUCCCUCAUGGAGGCGCUUUCUAAGAUCCGUGCCGAGGAGACUCGCCUCCGUGGUGCUGGUUUACUUGAGGUUCCCUCUGUGCUCGCUACUCGAGUUCCUGCUAUGACUGCUGCACUGACUCCUUCCCACUCGAGUGCUCCUCCGCUCUUGCCUACUCCUAUGGGCGGCCAGGGUCGAUCUCGUCCUCACUUCGGCUACUGCAAGAUGGAUGGUCAUGUUGAGUCUCAGUGCUUCUAGAAGAAGAAACACCUGCGUAAGGCGCGAUCAUCAGCUUCAGGGACUUCUUCUACUUCGACAUCUUCAGCCACCGCCUUGACUGAGAAGGAUAUUCUACGACUUAAGCGUCCGCUUGCCGCUUCAGGUUCUCCUUCGGCGGGUACUGCAGGUUCUGUGACUAAUGCUUCCCGCACUGAGCAACCACGCUCUACACAGUCAGGUACAUCCUCGUGGGUUCUGGACUCCGGAGCUUCUUUUCAUAUGUCUUUCUCCCACGGUUUCCUCACCUCGCAUGUCACCAGAUUCUGCAACUUCAUCCUCGGUGAUUUCUUCGUCUCCACCUCCUGAUUCUACCUCGGCUAUUCCUCGUAUUCUUCCAUCUUUGCCUCAGUAUUACACUCGUCGUUCACGUAAUGUGGAUGUGUCUGCUGAUGUGUCGUCCUUCUCGUCUCAGCCAACCUAUGGCUUGCGUCCUUGCCCGCUUCCGCCUGUUGAUCGCCUUGGUUUUUCAACCACUGGUGCUGUUGUUCUUGAGCCGACUUCUUAUCGUGAGGCUGCUGUUCAUCCUGAAUGGCAGUUUGCGAUGGCAGAGGAGAUUGCUGCUCUUGAACGCAUUGGUACAUGGGAUCUUGUUUCUCUUCCUCCCGGUGUCCGUCCCAUCACUUGUAAGUGGGUCUACAAGGUUAAGACUCGCUCUGAUGGUUCUCUUGAGCGUUACAAAGCUCGUCUUGUGGCUCGUGGUUUUCAGCAGGAGCAUGAUCGUGAUUAUGAUGAGACAUUUGCUCCUGUGGCCCAUAUGACCACUAUCCGUACACUUCUUGCCGUGGCCUCUGCACGCCACUGGUCUGUAUCUCAGCUUGAUGUUAAGAAUGCCUUUCUUAACGGUGAGCUACGUGAGGAGGUAUACAUGCAACCACCACCUGGGUAUUCUGUUCCUGAUGGCAUGGUAUGUCAUCUUCGUCGCUCUCUCUAUGGCCUUAAGCAAGCCCCCCGCACCUGGUUUGAGCGUUUUGCCUCUGUGGUGACUGCCGCUGGUUUUUCAGCGAGUGCUCAUGAUCCAGCAUUGUUUGUCCACCUUUCUCCUCGUGGUCGGAUUCUUCUUCUUCUCUAUGUUGAUGACAUGAUCAUCACUGGCGAUGACCCCGAGUAUAUUGCCUUUGUAAAGGCCCGUCUUAGUGAGCAGUUUCUUAUGUCUGAUCUUGGACCUCUACGCUACUUUCUUGGAAUUGAAGUCUCUUGUACCUCUGAUGGCUUUUUUAUAUCCCAGGAAAAGUAUAUAUAGGAUCUUCUUGUUCGUGCUGCUCUUACCGAUGAGCGCAUUGUUGAGACUCCCAUGGAGCUCAAUGUUCACCUUCGUGAUACUGAUGGUGACCCCUUGCCUGACCCGACGCGUUAUCGUCAUCUUGUUGGGAGUCUUGUCUAUCUAGCUGUCACUCGUCCGGAUAUCUCCUAUCCGGUUCAUAUUUUGAGUCAGUUUGUCUUCGCCCCCACUUCGGUUCACUAUAGUCACCUCCUUCGUGUUCUCCGAUAUCUUCGGGGCACGAUCUCUCACCGUCUAUUCUUUGCUCGCUCCAGUUCUUUACAGCUUCAGGCCUAUUGAGAUGCUACGUGGGCUAGUGAUCCCUCCGAUCGCCGUUCACUUUCUGCUUACUGUGUUUUUCUUGGUGGUUCUCUCAUUGCUUGGAAGACGAAGAAACAGACUGCAGUUUUCCGUUCGAGUGCAGAGGCUGAGUUAUGAGCUAUGGCUCUUUUGACGGCAGAGGUGACUUGGUUACGGUGGUUACUUCAGGAUUUUGGUGUUUCUGUUACUACACCUACUCCGCUCUUGUCUGACAGUACAGGUGCUAUUAGCAUUGCGCGCGAUCCUGUGAAGCAUGAGCUCACCGAGCAUAUUGGUGUUGAUGCUUUCUAUGUGCGCGCUGGUGUGCAGGAUUAGGUUAUUGCUCUUCAGUAUGUGCCUUCCGAGUUACAGUUGGCGGAUUUUCUGACGAAGGCCCAAACUAGAACGCAACAUGGCUUCUAUCUCUCCAAACUCAGUGUUGUUAAUCCACCAUGAGUUUGAGGGGGGGUGUUAGAGUUAUAUAUAUAUAGAGAGAGAGUCAUGUAACCUUUCGUAUUUACCCUAUUGUAUAAGGGGUUUCCUGCAUAUAUUCCACACCUGUACAUGUAUAUAUACUGGCCUAUGGCCACCUGGAAAUACAAGUUGCAUAUUUCCUAACAAAAAUGACAUGUCUAGAUUCAUACUAAACACUUGUCUCGUCAGGAGUAGUUGCCAAUGUUUUGUUUUUGAUACUGUGCAGAGUAAAAAAGGCGUUGUCUAUUUGAACCGAAGGAAGUAUCAGUUCAUAAAAUGAUGCAUUAUAAUUUACUUGAGGCUUUCAGUGGAUGAAUUUGAUUAAGUUUGAUUUUUUAGUGACUAUCUAGCUUGUACUCCCUCCGUUCAUAAAUAUAAGAUGCUUUAGCUUUUGGCCACCUUCCACACGUAUCAAAUGUAUCUAGACAUGCUCUAGUGUGUACAUUCAUUCAUUUUAGUAUGAAUCUAGACAACAUGUGGAACACCUAAAACAUCUUAUAUUUAAAAACGGAGGGAGUACAUUUCUAAUGAGUAUGCCCAUGAGCUAGAAAACAAACGAUUCAGCUCAAUUAACUGCCGUCCUAUUGCUGUUCUCGCUUUGUACUGUUGGUUUUCUCCAAUAUUGCUGAGUUGAUUUGACCUAAAGCCUUUGGCACAAUUUCCACAUCAUCGAAGCUCUAAUGCUUACUGUCCGAACUGUACACAAGUUGUGAGAUAAUUUCCAUGCAUCAAAUAAUUGAGUAUUACAAAUCUGUUUGACUAGCUUCACUGAUUGGUCGACAGGUAACAAGAGUUAGGUUUCGGAUGGCUGAGAUGCAGAAAUGGACUCUUUGUUUCAGGCUCUUCCAUCCUGUAUGCUGCGCAUGGGGCCUGUAAUGUGCUCCACAAGGGAAUUUGACCCGCUAUGUGUCAUGCCCUGGUCAAAUGUGCCGUGAACUAGUAGGAAUUAACAUGUCCUGGUCAACUGUAACUGGAGUUAAUCUUCUGACUUAUGAACUAUCCGUCUGUUAUCUGAUUUCUCUAGGAAAGAUUGGAACUAGCUUGAAGAGAAAUUAACUUCCUUCUGUUAAUGCAUUAGCGUUGGCCUUGUCACUGAAUCUUGCGUUAAUGCAUUAGCGUUGUAUUUUUUGUCCAGCAUCAUUUGCUUAUGUGCCACAAAAUUCCUGCUUAAGCCUAUGAUGUUUGCUCAUCCUUUUUGUGUGUCUCGAUCUGUAUUUCAAAGGGAUAUCAUUGCUCAAGGGAUGCCUUUAUGAGUUGUACUAAUUUGCGCAUAUUCAGUAGCAAUGCUGGUGCUGGGAUUAUUUUCUUCUUCUCUCUGUGAGUUAUGGUGAAGGCUGAAAACCUGGAGACACUAUGGCCUAUCCAUAAUGCUGCCAGUGCUGGCGACAGGUCUCCCCUUCCGGCUGCCGCCUCAUCUGCCCUACAACUUAUUUUUGAAUUCACUAACGGUAUGAACAAAGGGCUACUGUUAUUCCUGCUCCAGGUACUGUCAAAAGCUGAUCCAAGCCACCUGGAGACUCGCCGUAAAUCAACAUCGACGGCUCGUCCUGGCGAGAAACAAGCAUGGGACAUGGGGUUGAGACGGUCUGACGCUCAGAGAUUGGGAUGGAAAACUUUCUCAUGUAGCUGAGUAGCUGACGGCCUGACGCUCUCCAUGCGCGCUGAGACGGUCGACAGCCUGAAGGCCAUCGACUUCGUUGCCGAGGCAGGUAUGGGGCGUAUGACCAUAGAAACUGAUGAAAUGAAAUGAAACAGUACUGAAGUCUGCCCCCCAAACCAGUAACUUCGAUAUGGCUCGCCCAUGGAGUGCUCUCUCGAGAAGCAAAGAUAUCUUUGUGCUUACCGUCUUGUCUAUAGUUUAGCUCUGGGUGGUGUCAUGCUCAGUACCAUGGCAUGGAAAUGUACCGGUCAGAGAUUUGGCUGCAAAAGAUUAUCAAUACAGCCCACCCAUUCCUGUCUGGAAAAUAACCGAAUUCUUUCAUGAGUUAACCUCUUGAGAAAUGAAAUACACAUACAGACAGUGUAUGCAUGUGUCUUUUUAUAGACAAAAUGGAAGGAUCUUGCCCUGUCUAAGUAGUAUCAUCCUGGAAUUGCGGAUACCCAUUUAGGCUCCCGGGAGCACGUGUUUCUACGCCCGAAAAAUAACAAUUCCAACAUGCAUACACUGGUGCCAAGCCCGGAUAAAGGAGGAGGAUUAUAAUAGGCUUAGCGAGCUAACGUGAAAACUCAUCCACUCUUAUGGAGAUGAAAACUGCGCGCUAUAUCUUGAUCCGGAUAUGAUGGCAAGUGAGCGAGGAUUGGGUCGUCGCAUCCUUAGUGGCGCGCUACAUCGGCACCCAGAUGUAGUGCAAAAUGAGCAAGGGUCUUUGCACUUGACUCGACGAGUGCGAAGGGUAAGGAAGCUGGCCGAGCCUAGGAGGAUUCGUUUAGGUAGCUGGAACGCAGGGUCUCUGACAGGGAAGCUUCGGGAGCUAGUUGAUGCAACAGUGAAGAGAGGUGUUGAUAUCCUUUGCAUCCAAGAAACCAAAUGGAGAGGACAGAAGGCAAAGGAGGUGGAGGAUACCGGCUUCAAACUGUGGUACAUGGGGACGGAUGCAAACAGAAAUGGCGUAGGCAUCUUGAUCAACAAGAGCCUCAAGUAUGGAGUGGUAGACGUCAAGAGACGUGGGGACCAGAUUAUCCUGGUCAAGCUGGUAGUUGAGGACUUGGUUCUCAAUGUUAUCAGCGCGUAUGCCCCACAAGUAGGCCACAAUGAGAACACCAAGAGGGAGUUCUAGGAAGGCCUGGAAAACAUGGUUAUGAGUGUACCGAUUGGUGAGAAGCUCUUCAUAGGAGGAGACCUCAAUGGCCUCGUGGGUACAUCUAACACAAGUUUUGAAGGGGUGCAUGGGGCUUUGGCUAUGACAUCAGCAAUCAAGAAGGAGAAGAUGUCUUAAGCUUUGCUCUAGCCUACAACAUGAUUGUAGCUAACACCCUCUUUAGAAAGAGAGAAUCACAUCUGGUGACUUUUAGUAGUGGCCAACACUCUAGCCAGAUUGAUUUCAUCCUUUCGAGAAAGAGAAGAUAAGCGUGAGUGCCUAGACUUUAAGGUGAUACCUGGAGAGAGUGUUGUACCCCAGCAUAAGCUGGUGGUUGCUGACUUUCGCUUUCGGAUUCGUGUCCAGCGGGAUAAGCGUGCCAAAGUCGCUAGAACGAAGUGGUGGAAGCUCAAGGGGGAGGUAGCUCAGGCGUUCAAGAAGAGGGUCAUUAAGGAGGGCCCUUGGGAGGACGGAGGGGAUGCGGACAAUGUGUGGAUGAAGAUGACGACUUGCAUUCGUAAGGUGGCCUCGGAGGGGUUUGGAGUGUCCAGGCGAAGGAGAAGCGAAGAUAGGGAUACCUGGUGGUGGAAUGAUGAUGUCUAGAAGGCAAUUAAAGAGAAGAAAGAUUGCUUCAGACGCCUAUACCUGUAUAGGAGUGCAAACAACAUAGAGAAGUACAAGAUGGUGAAGAAGGCUGCAAAGCGAGUUGUUGGUGAAGCAAGGGGUCAGACAUAUGAGGACCUCUACCAACGGUUAGGCACGAAGGAAGGUGAAAGAGACAUCUAUAAGAUGGCCAAGAUCCAAGAGAGAAAGACGAGGGAUAUUGACCAAGUCAAAUGCAUUAAGGACGGAGCAGGCCAACUCUUGGUGAAGGACGUGGUGAGUAAGCAUAGAUGGCGGGAGUACUUCGACAAGCUGUUCAAUGGGGAGAAUGAGAGUUCUACCAUUGAAUUGGACGACUCCUUUGAUGAGACCAGCAUGCGUUUUGUGCGGCGAAUUUAGGAGUCUGAGAUUAAGGAGGCUUCAAAAAGGAUGAAAGGAGGCAAGGCGAUGAGCCCUGAUUGUAUCCCCAUUGAGGUGUGGAAAGGUCUCGGGGACAUAGCGAUGGUAUGGCUAACCAAGCUUUUCAACCUCCUUUUUCGGGCAAACAAGAUUCCAGAAGAAUGGAGACGGAGUAUAUUAGUACCAAUCUUCAAGAACAAGGGGUGUCCAGAGUUGUACUAAUUACCGUGGAAUUAAGCUGAUGAGCCAUACAAUGAAGCUAUAGGAGAGAGUCAUUGAGCACCGCUUAAGAAGAAUGACAAGCGUGACCAAAAAUCAGUUUGGUUUCAUGCAUGGGUGGUCGACCAUGGAAGCCAAUUUCUUGGUACGACAAUUUAUGGAGAGAUAUAGGGAGGAAAAUAAGGACUUGCAUAUGGUGUUCAUUGACUUGAAGAAGGUCUAUGAUAAGAUACCGCGGAAUGUCAUGUGGUGGGCCUUGGAGAAACACAAAAGUCCCAGCAAAGUACAUUACCCUCAUUAAGGACAUAUACGAUAAUGUUGUGACAAGUGUUCGAACAAGUGAUGUCGACACUAAUGAUUUCCCGAUUAAGAUAGGACUGCAUCAGGGGUCAGCUUUGAGCCCUUAUCUUUUUUGCAUUGGUGAUGGAUGAGGUCACAAGGGAUAUACAAGUAGAUAUCCCAUGAUGUAUACUUUUUUGCGGAUGAUGUGGUGCUAGUUGACGACAGUCGGACGGGGGUAAAUAGGAAGUUAGAGUUAUGGAGACAAGCCUUGGAAUCAAAAGGGUUUAGGCUUAGUAGAACUAAAACCAAAUACAUGAUGUGCGGUUUCAGUACUACUAGGUGUGAGAAGGAGGAGGUUAGCCUUAAUGGCCAGGUGGUACCCCAGAAGAACACCUUUCGGUAUCUGGGAUCAAUGCUGCAGGAGGAUAGGGGUAUUGAUGAAGAUGUGAACCAUUGAAUCAAGGCCAGAUGGAUGAAGUGGCGCCAAGGUUCUAGCAUUCUCUGUGACAAGAGAGCGCCACAAAAGCUAAAAGGCAAGUUCUACAGGACGACGGUUUGACCCGCAAUGUUGUAUGACGUUGAGUGUUGGCCGACUAAAAGGCGACAUGUUCAACAGUUAGGUGUGGCGGAGAUGCAUAUGUUGAGAUGGAUGUGUGGCCACACGAGGAAGGAUCGAGUCCGGAAUGAUAAUAUACGAGAUAGAGUUGGGGUAGCACCAAUUGAAGAGAAGCUUGUUUAACACCAUCUGAGAUGGUUUGUGCAUAUUCAACGCAGGCCUCCAGAAGCUCUAGUGCAUAGCGGGCGGCUAAAGCGUGCAGAGAAUGUCAAUAGAGGACGGGGUAGACCGAAUUUAACAUGGGAAGAGUCAGUUAAGAGAGAUCUGAAGGAUUGAAGUAUCACCAAAGAGCUAGCUAUGAACGGGGACGCGUGGAAGUUUGCUAUCCAUGUGCCAAAGCCAUAAGUUAGUUGCGAGAUAUUAUGAGUUUCAUCUCUAGCUAAUCCCGACUUGUUUGGGACUAAAAGCUUUGUUGUUGUUGUUGUUGUUGUUUAUAGUUAUAUCCAAAUGCUACCUGCAAAGUUUUAAGAAAAAAAGUUAAACAUUUUGGCAUGUGUAAAAAAAUAAAUUUGAACACCAAAUGUUACCUCAAAUUUACUUUUUCACCGACGAAACACUACUGCUUUGUUUUGUAUGAAAAUUGUCAAGCAUGCUUGCGACACUAACAUGAACAGCUAUAAAAAAAUCAGAUCUUUUUGAAACAGUUUACCACUUUUUUCGGUACUGUUCAUCUAGAAGCGUUAGGACCAAAACACCCCUCCCUGAUUUUUUAUCUUCCUUUUUUGAGUGUGAAUUUUUGGGCCUCGGGUGCGAUGGGUCUCGCUAUCCUCACCAUGCAGAAACGCGAGGAGAUGGGUGCUAGUGAGUGUCUCGCUAGGUUAGCUGGAAAUAAAUGCACCGAGAAAUACGACUGAGCCAUGGUUCAGAAUACGGGCUUUCAUACAUGUGCGGGUGAGCCAAGAAGUGCAUAUGAAAAUAUGAGUGGUUUGCUGUAUGGUGGUUGGUAGACUGCAUAUGAAUAUAAAAAAUACUUCGUCCGGUGUUUGGUUGCUUGGCUCAGAUCAAUUUCCAGCAUUACACUUUGUUUAAAGCACUCGAGGACCAGGCUGAGGAGGUACGACCGAAUUGGCCAUUUUCACUCAUGUAGUUUCACGCGGACCAUGAGAUGAGAAAGAUCCGUUUCUUUCUGUGUCAGGCUGCAUUCUUCUCUUAUAGCGCAUGCGGAACGCCGCUACUACCAAACGUGUGAGCUUGUAUUCUAUCAAACCCCACCAACCAUCAUGCAAGCAACCAAACAACAUGAGUACUUCAUUUCUUGCAUCAUUUUUCCUCAACUAGGCCACAACCUGGCUCGUUUCCCUCAUACCACUAGUAGAAAACAGAGCUUUGGUCAUGGGGCAGUUUUCACAUUAGUCCCGGUUCAGUAGGGGUGGAAAGUGGUAGCAGAUAAUCCGAAAUAUCCGAUAUUCGUAUUCGAGAAAAUGCCUAUUCGUAUCCGAAAUAUUCGCAUCCGAAUCAAAAUGGAAAUUGAAAUUAUCCGUAUCCGAAUUUAUUAAACAAAAAUAAAAUAAAAUAUGGUAGAAGAUUUUGACACAAAUAUGGAUACGGAAGUGGAUAUAUCCGUAUCCGAAUAAGAUUAUGGAAGGUAAUUUUUAAAAUCCUAGGCCCAAUAUUCCAAUUAUCCAACAUAAAAACCAAAUAAGUGGUCAAAUUUUACUCUUUAUAUGAUUAAACUUAUAAAUUAUUAUGCAUUACAGUAUUUAUUCAUAAACCUAUUUAUCAUUGACUUAUUUUAUAUCACAAGUUGAUUAUUUUAGGUCACAUAGCUAUCAACUAAUUUACUUAAGCAAUAUGUUGAUAUUAUUCGUAUCCGUUCCGAAUUAAGAAAAUAUCCGAUACGUAUCCAUAUUUAAAUAAUAUCCGAGCCGCAUCCGUAUCCGAUAACAUCCGUAUUCGGAUUCGUAUUCAUUUUGAAAAUAUGAAAAUGGAAGUGGUAAGAGCACUAUCCGAUCCGCAUCCGAUCCGUUUCCACCCCUACGGUUCAGUCAAGAACCGGGACUAACGUGAGCAUUUAUCCCGGUUCGUGCGGCUAAGGCAUUAGUCCCGGUUCAUCUGGGCCCUUUAGUCCCGGUUCGUGCCACGAACGGGGACUAAAGGGUGCGAUGCCCAUUAGUCCCGGUUGGUGGCACCAACCGGGACUAAAGGUCUCCUUUAGUACCAGUUGGUGCCACCAACCGGUACUAAUGGGUUUUGAGGCAUUAGUACCGUUCAUGGCACGAACCGGUACCAAAGGUUCNNNNNNNNNNNNNNNNNNNNNNNNNNNNNNNNNNNNNNNNNNNNNNNNNNNNNNNNNNNNNNNNNNNNNNNNNNNNNNNNNNNNNNNNNNNNNNNNNNNNNNNNNNNNNNNNNNNNNNNNNNNNNNNNNNNNNNNNNNNNNNNNNNNNNNNNNNNNNNNNNNNNNNNNNNNNNNNNNNNNNNNNNNNNNNNNNNNNNNNNNNNNNNNNNNNNNNNNNNNNNNNNNNNNNNNNNNNNNNNNNNNNNNNNNNNNNNNAAAAAACAAAAGAAAAUGAUGGAAAUGUCAAAACAUAAAAUAAAAUAAGUUUCCCAUGUGAUAUGUGGUCUACUUGUUGGGAAAAUUUACAAAUAUGAAUUUCGACUUUAUUUGCAAAAUCUCUCUGGAAUUUGUAAAAUGGGCAUAACUUUUGCAUACGAACUCGGAUUAAAAAAAAUUAUAUGAAAAAUCAUCUACUCGAAAAGUUACAUCUGAAUUUAACCGGAGGAAUCCCGUUAAACAUUUUCAAAAUCCUCAAAAACCUAACAGAAAAAAAGUUACGGGGCUUUUAAGAUCUAGAGUGGAAAAAAUCGAAAAAAUUACUAGUCAAAUCUGGUCAAACAAUGGUCAAACUGUCGUCAAACAAUGGUCAAACUAAUUAUUCUAGAAUAUUAGUGUUACUAAAUAAUUAUUUCAGUUAUUUUGAAUUUUGGUCAAAUCUGGUCAAACUAAUUAUUCAAGAAAUAUUAGUGUUACUAAAUAAUUAUUGUUUUAAAAAAAAUAGUUUCAAACUCAAACAGUGAAAUGUGUCACUUCAUGCUCAAGCAAAAUUCAUGAAGGUUAGAUUGACAUCUUACUAUUGUCAGGAAAACAACAAGUGCAGACUUGGAAACGAGAGAGAAUAGAACCCGGAAGUUAAGCGUGCUCAGACUGGGGGAGUGGGAGGAUGGGUGACCGUUCGGAAAGUUAGAUGAUUUGGAAUGAUGAGGGGUGAUUAGAGGAUAUAUUGAGCAGUGAUGAGGGGUGGUGAUUACACACUAGAGGUUAAAAUAAUUCAGAAAUUUGAAAAUAUUUUUUUUAAAAAAAAUUCAAAAAAAAUCAUAAAAUUUCCUUUAGUCCCGGUUGUUGUUACCAACCGAGACUAAAGGUGGAGCUCCACGUGGCCGCGCCCUUUAGUCCCGGUUCGUGUAAGAACCGGGACUAAAGGGGAGAGGCAUUAGUACCGACCCUUUAGUCCCGGUUCGAAAACCGGCCUUACCAACCGGGACAAAAGCCCCCUUUUCUACUAGUGUACAUGAGGGUAAUAUGAAUACUGCCGGACAACCCGAGCAUUUGAGGAGACUUUGAGGGGUCCGGUUGGGUCAAUUUUUCUUUCUCUCUCCUGUCCGCUCAGUGGUUCUGUGUCUGCCCGGUCAAUUUGAGGAGUUCGACUGUAUAUGCUUUAAGGUACAUUUUUUUUUGGUUUUGUAGGCUCAUAAUAGCAAAUAGCAAUCCACUUAUUUGUCUUUCUUCUACAACACACAAACAUAAAAUAUGCAUCGGUUAAAUUUUGUGUUGACGUACAUAUUAUGAAACCAAAAGAACUUCUAUAGGAAUAGAGCUACGUUCUGAAAGCCUUCAAAAGAAGAGCUACUUUCUGAAACAAAUAACACCACUUCUGCAGAAUACAAGUGGCCACUUUUUUACAAGCACGGUUUCCAUUUAUCACUAUGUUGAUUUAAGAUUUUUAUAUUUUUAGGGGCUUUUGAGGAUUUUAUCUGCCAAAUUUCCAAAACCAUGAAGAGGUGCACCAAAUCAAAUCCGCUUUAGACUUGCGGGCUUCGGUCCGUAGCCCACUUCAGUGUCGUCUGCGAGCGUCCCGGAGGACGUGGCAAACAGGUGAGGGCAGGAAUGGGGGCUACAGGGAGCGGAGGAGAGGGGUGGCCACAAUGCGGCGACCUACGUGUGGAGGAAAACGAUAGACAAUAGCAAAGCGGGGGAAGGAAGAAGAUGACCUAGGUGGAUAAGGAGCCAAUGGCUCGGGGCGGGCAAAUCGAAAGACAGCACGGCGACCGGCGCCUAUCAUCGCCCCAUUUUUUUACAAGCAUGGUUUCCAUUUAUCACUAUGUUACUGUUUAGGUUUUUAUCUUUUUAUUAUAGGGUUCUUUGAGGUUUUUAUCUCCCAAAUUUCAAAAACAGUGAAGAGGUGCAGUAAAUCAAUCGUGGGCUUCAGUCUGUAGCCCACUUCAGAGCCUGCUUCUGCUCUUCACACUUCACUCUUCCCAGGCCGCGCCGCCCCCAGCCGCCGCGAGAAGAUGAGCAGCCCCCGCUCCUCGGCGGCGGCGCCGCUGGACGACGACGACCUGCUCGCCGAGAUCCUCCUCCGCCUCCCCCCGCAGCCCUCAUCCCUCCCCCGCGCCUCCGCCGUCUGCAAGUUCUGGCGCAGCCUCGCCUCCGACCCCGGCUUCUCCCGCCGCUUCCGCGCGCACCACCGCAGAAACCCUCCCCUCCUCGGCUGCUUCGUCCAUGAUUUUUGCGAGGUUCGCUUCCAGCCUACCCUGGAGCCCCCCAAUCGCGCCCCGCAAUCCCGCUUCCCCUUCGCAAUCGCCGCCGGCGACCGCUUCCACAUCCUCGGAUGCCGCCAUGGCCUCGUACUCAUCUUCCACGACUCACAGAAGCAGCUCCUGGUGUGGGACCCCUUCACCGGCGACCAGCACCGCCUGGACAUUCCCCCGGGGUUCGCCGUGGAGAAAACCUGGAUCGGCGCGGCGGUGCUUCGUGCUCCCGGAGAUUUCCACCAUUUCCAGGUGGUCUUGGUAGGCAACAGCGACAUUCAAAGCACACAAGCGGUAGCCUCUGUUUACUCUUCAUUGACCGGUGUAUGGGACAGGCUCAUCUCAACACCGCUUCCACCAGAGGAUUCUGGUUUUCUCACCAUGGUUUACACGGGCAUGCCUGCUGUGAUGGUUGGGGGUUCCUUUUAUUGGUUGCUUUAUGGGAAUUCGCAAGAAAUCCUUGAAUUUGAUUUGGAUAAGCGGAGCCUGGCUUUAAUACCCAUGCCAGUGGGGAACACUCGAGACAUGGGCGAAGGCAAUAUUUGGGUUAUGCCGGCAGAGGGUGCUGGCCUUGGUUUCCUCUUCCUGAGAGGCUUUUGUGCCCAAUUAUGGAAGAGGAAGACCGACUGCAAGGGUGUUUCUUCAUGGGUGCUGGGAAGAAGUAUUGAUCUCGACAAGUUACUUUCCUUGAAUUCAGAGAUGGAGAUAGGGUACCCAUCGAUACUAGGGUUUGCAGAGGACAAUAAUGUGGUGUUAUUGUGGACGUCUGUCGGCAUCUUCACGGUCCAGUUUGAAUCAUUGCAGUUCAAGAAACUUUUCGAAUCCCAUGACUGGUAUCGCUGUUGUCCAUUUGAAGGUGUCUAUACUGCAGGUAAAAAUAAAUCAAGUUAUUUGAUGUUCUUGGAUUAUUACUGUUGAAUUGUGUACUUUCACCUGUUUAAUCUAGGACGUCCAUAGAAUGAAACAACACAAAGAUUUGCAAAUAGUAUUAUGUAGAGUACUCGAACUAAUUUUUUGUUAUGGACCAAUAGACAUACUCAAGAAUUUCAUAAUGGUGGUAUUAGUGCAUUGCUGCAGUACAAAUGUUACUCAAGAUGAGAUACACAGUGUUUUGAAAUUGAAGACAGUUACAUGAGAAACUUGCUUGAACCAAUUGAAAUGUCAAAUAGGUAGCUCAAUUGGUACAUUCUGAAGCUCAAAGCUGGUUAUAUUUCUUCCAUUCAAUAUGGUUAUCUUGUCGAUCUUGCCAGUAAUAGUAAAUCCCCAAUGGCGACUAGGUUUGAUGGUUACAAAUUAGUUUUUCACUUUUAGAAGAGUCAUGCUGCAAGUGACAUGUCCAUUUGCUAGAAAUUCAGGCUAAAUUUAUUUAAAGAUAAUCUUAAUAUGAAUAGUCAUGAUCACUUCUAUUGCUAACAUUUAUUAGUAUGAGCAUGUUCCAUUUUUAUCCAAUGUGGCAUGGACCAUCUUAAGUGUAACUUUAGAUAUUUUUCCUUCCUAUCUGCUAUUUUAUUUAUCUAUUCCUAAUUUUGCACGAGGCAUGAAUUAUUUUCUCAAAAUACAGCAUUCUGCUUAUCUUAAUAUCUUGUUAAUGUCCUCUCGCACCUAUUUGACUGUUCGUUGGAAUAUCAUUGGUUCCGUAACAUAUUAUUCUUGUAGGCGGGGGCAUUGGUGGUGGACCCUGUGGAGCUAAACUUUUGUACAAUACAUAAUCUGAUUUGUCUUGAUAGACAUUCUAACGUGAUGAAAUGCUUGAGCAGCUACUAUCUGUUAGUAGUAGCAGAAUGAAAUAUUUUCCCUUUAUUUUUAUUUUUGCUGGUUGCUACAUUGCAUUGCUUUUUUUUUUCUGUGGUUAUGGGUCUGUCAAGUUUGAGGAUGAUUUGUUUGUUGUUCCAUCAAUGCAAAUAGUUGAUGACUAACAACACCUCAGCACUUGGCUUGAAACUUUCUUUAUUUAUAUGGGUUUGCCAUUUCACAUAUUGCUUUUUAGGGAAACAUUUUCACAUUAUUGCUCAUGCAGGAUCAUUAUCAUACCUAAUGACCACUUGCAGUUAUUGUACAGUUAUUAUAAUCUUAGGUGUUUUGGUUAAGUAUUUUUCUCAACAUGUCUCUGUUUAUCAGUCUAACAACCAUAAUACCCAAUAUAGUUUGUCUGAUCCAAGCUACAUGCUGGCUGUGUUGUGGUUUGUGUGCAGUCUGAUUUCUUCGAUUUCGGUCAUUAUAGAUGUUUAACAAUUUUUGUACUGAACGCAUGAUAAAAAUGACAUGACUAGAUUCAUAUAUUAAACACUGCCCUCUUCACAAGUAGUUGCCUGUUCCAACAUUUCGUUUUUGAUAUUGCGCAGAGUGAAAAAAAAGUCCUCUGUUUGGUUGGAAGGAAGUAUCAAUGAAUAAAAUGAUGCAUGAUUUUCUACUGCAUGAAUUUGAUUAAAUUCUACUCCCUCCGUUCCAAAAUAGAUGACCCAUCCUUGUACUAACUUUACAAGGAUGGGUCAUCUAUUUUGGAACGGAGGGAGUAGGUGUUAGUGAUUAUCUAGCUCGUACGUUUCUAAGAGUAUGCUUAUGAGCUAGAAACCAGAUGUUUCUGCUCUGUUUCUCCAUGUGCCCCUCAUAUGCCCAUGAUUAGAAAGAAAGUUUCACAAGAUUUGUCAAGCUAUAGGAUGUUCUAAUAGAUUUAUCUGAAGCACCAACCAUUUAGGCUCUACUGAGACUAGAUGUAGCCAAAAGCCUGAGAAAUUGAAGGUGUGCAGCUACAAAUUAACUGUCUUUCUAUUUCUGUUCUCUCUUUGUACAGUUGGUUGUGUCCAAAAUUGUUGAGUCGAUUCAACCUUGAGCUCUUGAAACAAUCUCCAUAAUGUUCUUUUAGAGAACAAUCUCCGUAUUGUUGUAGCUAGUGCCUACUGUCUGAAUCAGACAAAAAAAAUGUUAGAUAAAUUCAAUGGCUUCUGCGUGAAUGAGUACUGCAAUUCGGUUUAUCUGACAACAAUGGUUGCUCUGCAGGUAACAAGAGUUAAAGUUUCGUUGUCAGAAAUGAAGAAAAUGGAUUAGUUGCUGUAUGUUUAUCUACUCUCUAUGCUGUGCAUGCGGCUUGUGAUGUGCUCCACAAGGGAAUUGAUCUUCUAUUUAUCAUGCCCUGGUCAACUGUGAUGAUGUGCACUUGUAGGGAUUAAACAUGUCCUGGCCAAUUGUAACUUGGAAUUAAUAAUUUCUUAAGCAGUGAACUUACGUCUAUUAUGUGAUUUCUGUAGACAUUAUGUGGUUUUGCUGUCAGAGGUGAAGAGAAAUUUAACUUCCUCGGUUAGUGCCACAGUGUUAGCCAUCUCACUCUGAAUCUUGCAGUUCAUUUGCUUGCCUUUGCAUCUAUUUUUUUGUGUGCACAUAUCCUUCUCAGCAUCGUUUGCUCAUGUCCCACAAGAACUCUGCUCCUGUGUUUGAAACUGUAUUUCAAAACUCCCAUGAUGCUUUUAUGAGUCGAAAUAAUUUGCACCCAUUCAGUAGCAAUGCUGCUACUGGGACAAUUUAUCUUCUUUCUGUGGAAUAACAUAUGAAUUAAAAACAGUGCUGCUAAAUCUCAGUCGAUUGAGACUUCACGAAGUCUUAGUCGAUGUUAUAUUCCUUUGAUCUUGCAUGGAGAUUUGUGCUAAGUUUUUUUUUCGUUUUUUUCUUUUCCUUUUAUACACUAUGUCACUUGACGUCGACUUCGCGAAGUCUCAGUCGGCUGAGACCUAGCCACACCCAAUUAAAAAUCUUUUAUGAGAUGGAAUAUAAACAUACAGACAAUGUAUGCCUGUGUGCUUCAGUGCAGUGCACUGGCGAACAUUGCAUUUUAUUUCAUUCUAGACUUGAAGAAAAAAUGGAGUGACUCUUGCACCGCAGAGCCCUCUCUUUUUACUAGACUAGAGAUGGAAUUAAUGUUUUAUCUUCUUCUUUUUAGAGAAAAAACUGAGUGAAUCUUCUCCUUCAACUGGGUUCAGUACAGUGAUUGUAGUGAAUGGAAAAACUAUGCAAUUUAAAAAGAAUAGUGAAACGAAAACCAUAGUCAUAAGAUUUCUUAUAGAGCAACAAUACAAAUAAGGAUUUUCUGUCUCUUUUUUCAGACUAUAAAGAUUUUUUUGAGGGCCUUUUUUUAGAUUAAAGAUGAAUUCUCUGCCUAUACACGGUUGUGCGUGGUGGGCUUUUUUCUUACUAUAGUGUCGUGGGUUUUCUCUUGUUUUCUGUCUAAAAAUAUAGAAUUUUGGGCUUUAGGUCAUCUGAACUGCAUCUCGCACCAACUGCCGCCUCCCUUGCCGCUGUAGCCACUCGGCGGCGACGUGGCGGCAGGUCGAUGACAACCUGCUCACUGAGAUCCUUCUCCGCCUCCUAGGGCUCUUCUACAUGCCUAUGCUGGAGGCCCCCAAUCGUGUCCGCGCUUCUUCUCCUUGCAGUUUGACUAGCACAUGAUGUACGACGCCAGGGCAGAUUUAUUUUCCUUGAUGCCCACGAGUUUCAACGCCCUAGCGAAAAAAGGUCCUAGUUUGGGACCCUGUCAACGGCGACCAGCGUCGGACUACCCUCCCCACGGGGCCCUUCAGUUGGUAGAACACCUCAAUCAACGGGCGGCGCUCCGCUCCGGAGACAUCCACCACUUCCAGGUGGUUUUGGUAUGCAAAGACAAACAUCAUACACGAGGUGGUUGCCUGCAUUUACUUGUCGGACGCCAAUUCCAUCUAAGGCUCAUACACAAAUACGCUCGGUGUUUUUUCUAUGUUGUACGUGGUGUUAGCUGUGGAUUUCCUUUAAUGUCUGCUUGAUAUGGAAAGUGACUGGAAUUACCGAUUUUGAUUUCGACGAUUUCGUCUUUCAUGGUUCUUUUUUUUUAUGCACCAGGCUUGUUUCAUUAUAAAUCGAGUGUCUCCAAAAACACUUGGCUUACAAUCUUGCAUCUUGAUUGGUCGAUGCAGGUCUUUCAUGGAUUUACGCGUCAUGACCGUUGGAUUUACUUAGUUGGACGGCUGUGAGCACCUAUUAUAAGCUGAGUGCCGCCAAGAAAAAACACACUGCUUAUACCCUUGCAUUUUGAUUGGUCAAUAUAGGCCUUCCAUAGAUUACAAGUUAGAGCAAGUAUAAUAAGUUUAUGUAAGCAGGACAUGGAGGGGAAAGAAGAGGAGCCGGCUACAGAAUAAGAGCCGGCUGCAGCACGUGCUCGUAGGCACUAUGUGAGAGUGGAAGGUGGACCAUUUAUUAAUGAGGUAGCACAUCUUUGUAUCUUAUUAUUAUACUCCCUCCGUCCAAAAAAACUUGUCAUCAAAAUGGACAAAAAAGGGUGUCUCUAGAACUAAAAUACAUCUAGAUACAUCCCUUUUUAUUCAUUUUGAUAACAAGUAUUUCCGGACAGAGGGAGUACUUGAAGGCUACAAGAUUUUUUUUUGAGAUAAGGCUACAAGGUUGGCUAUAGAUGACAUGACAACAUCAUAUAGACAUCAGCUGGCCGUACUAUUAACCAUGCUCUUAUGACCGUUGGAUUCGGCUUAAUCGGACGGCCCUGAGUAGAUAUCUUAUCUGUCCCAUCUCUCACUCUCCUUAUCUCUUUUCUCCUCCAGUACGCAGCCGCCGCAGCUCCUCCUCUGGCUCGCCUCGCUGCCACUGCUCCUCCUCUCGGCCAAGCUAGUCCUCGUCCCCUCUUCUCUCCUUGUCCUCAUCUCCACCUCUUCCCCUCUUCCUUCCUCGCCAGCAGCAGCAGCACUAGGGAGCAGCGGCGGCGGCAAGCGAGCAGCAGCAGCGGAGUAGCAACAGCGAGCAGCAAAGUAGCAGAAGUAGGGAGCGCCGGCGGCGGCGGAGGAGCAGCAGCGUCAAGAUAAUUGAUUCUUGCCGGAAGGAACACACGUACACAGCUCCUGAAUCUGAUUCUUUUCGUUUAUUUACACAUGCGCACACAAAACCGGUGCAUUGCCGCAAGCUCGAAUCGGGCCUGCUUCUUUUCGCUUGUUUCUCGUCAUUGUUCAGUGUUUACAAAGGGACAUACAUGCGUAUACAUACCGCUGGUGGCCCACGACGGCCCUCGGUUUAUAUAUAAACCGGGCUGCUCACCUCGGCCCUUGGUUUGCACCCGGCUUGUACCUAGUAAGCCGUGUGCUACAAGCCUCUUUUUAUAUAUAAACCGAGUUUAAAUCGGCAUAGCCGAGUGUAUUAGGUACACGGCUUAAUUAUAAUUUUUUUGAAACUAGCUUGAACCAAGUCAAGUGUCAAAUAGGUAGCUCAAUUGGCACAUUAUGAAGCAUAAAAUUGGUUAUAUUUCAUUGUUUCGAUAUUAUUAUCUUUGCCUUGCUGAUAUUAUUAAAUCCAUAAUAAUGACUUGGUUUCAUAUUUUACAAAAUAGUUUUUGUAACAUUUAGAAGAGUCCUGAUGCAGCUAGUAAGUUCAUUUGUGCAGGAGAAUUCAGGCUAAAAUUUUACAAAGAUAAUCGAAAUAUGAAUACUCAUUAUCACAUCUGUUGCCAGAAUUUAUAAGUAUGGGUACAUUUCAUUCUUGUCUGAUAUAGCAUGGAAUGAGCUUAAUAGUAAUUUUAGAUACCCCUACCUUCUAAUCAGUGAACAGUCUAAGUAUGUAUGUUCUUCAAUUUACGAUAUUAGUGAGUAUAUAUUGUAAUGAGAAUAUUUGAUUUAUUUAUUAGUAGGUGUUGUUUGGUUUAUCUUUUUCGUAAUGUUGCAUCAAACCUGAGCUGCUUUUCUCAAGUGAGUUUAUCUAAAUACCCUGCUCAUGCCCGCUCGUAUCUAUUCAUUGUUCAUUGCAUUUCAAUGGUUCUUUGACUUCUUAAUCUUGCAGACACGGGCGUUGAUGGUGGACAUGGUGGAGCUGAAAUUUUGCACAAAAAGUUCAUUUGCCCCAGUGGAAGUGCUUUGAUGUUGUUUGAUUGAGCAGGUAACCAUCUGUUACUAGUAUCACAAUGCAAUAUUUUCCUUUUCCUUUAGUUUCCUUGGUGGGUGUUUUCUGUUUUACUUUGGUGGUUGCUAAAUUGCAUUUAACUUUUUCCAUCUGUGGUUAUCAUAUGACUAUGCAGCCAACCAAAUCGGCUGAACAAAGCCUGAGCAACCAUUUCCAAGUGGCUGCACCCAGAAUCCAGUGUAGCCGGCGCCUCCACAGGUUGAACUAAGGAUCACGUAGGAUCCAGUGCAGAUCAUUUCCAAGUGGCUGCACCGAGUUCAAACCUGCAGGAAAGUAGAAGCUCUUUGAUUGUUAAAAACAUAUUGUUGCAAUACCUUCAAAUAGCCUUAGAUAAAGCACAAACUUCAACCCAGAUUUGAGCUUUUAGUUGUUUAUUAAUACACCCUAACCAGUUUUCGAACAUUAUUAGACUAAAGCACAAACUCCAACCCAGAUUUGAGCUUUUAGUUGUUUAUUAACACACCCUAACCAGUUUUCUGAAAUAGAAGUUAGUAAUAUACACCUUGAGUUGAGCUUCUCCAAUGGUGCCAUCAUCUUGCUCAAGCUGAUCUUUUUUUUACGAUGCUUCCCAUUUGCAAGUAAAAUGGAAGUACUUCAUAUUGCUUCCCCCCUCCUGAACAUGCUUCACUAUAGCAUGUUAGGUCCAUUUCAACUCUUCUUCUCUCAUAAGCUUAGUGGUCCGCUCAUCAGCAUCACUCUUGAUAGACCUUUCCGGCUUCCGCUGCACUCAGUGGAUUUAGUUCUGCCUUAACAUCCAGUUGAUCAAUCAACUGAAGUAAGCCCUCUUUUUCUUUCCUAUACCCCCCACUGAGACUACGAGCCCAUCCCUUUAGGAAAUCAAGCAUGCCUUUUCUCUACUUUGAUCAAGUCGCAGACUCCCUGCUAAUUAAGGUCAGUUUAUGCUAAAGGGAAACGAAUUAGUCUUAUUGACUGAUAAAACAAAUGAGAGAUGACAGUUCACACGUAUUGACUUCAAAAAGUCUCACUUGCUUGUCAAGUGCUAACAUGAACCCAUGUUAAUUGCGAGAUCCAUCUAAACAGAGUCACAAUUGACCUACUAAACUAAUUAUAAGGCUUAAGGGGUAAAUGACUAAGUGACCGUUUUGUUUGAAACCAACUGAAAAUAUUGCUGGAUACCCACUGUCAGUUCCUUCCAUAUGAGGGGAGAAAUUACGAAUUAACCAUCACAUUUGAUCUUGGUUUGUCUUUAUUCUGAUCAAGUCCUAGGCUCCUAGGUAACUAUACCGUCGGUCUAUGCUGAAGGGAAAGAAUUAGUCUCAUUGAACGAUAGACAAAUGGUAAGAGUACUAUUCACAAGUAUUGACUUCACAAGAAUUGCACAUGCUCGAUUGCUUGUUGCAAGAGCUCAUGGACCAUGGAAACUGUGAGAUCCACUCACACAGACCUGACUUGAGGAGAUACCUGUACAUGACCAAGUGGCUGGUCAAUUUUAAACUGAUCGGAAGUGCCGCUGGAUAUCAACUGUGGUCCUUUGAAGUGGCUAGAAAAAUUGAACACUGAGUUUUUUCUUCUUUUUAGAUGAGAAGGGAAAAUAUGAAACAAGCACAUUUGAGCAUAAUUUUGUUUACUUUGUUGAAGUCCCAGGCUCCUGGAUAAUCAGAGUAAUAGUAUAUGCUAGGGAAAAAAUUAGUGUCUCAUUGAAUGAUAAAAGAAAUGUGUGAUGAACUGAUGAUGACCAUCGAUUGAGUGUGAGAAAUAGCAUUGAUGAAAGAUCUAUCCACAUGGCCAAAAUAAUAUGAUUAUGGUGCAAGUCAACCCUGCUAGAUGCUGAUCCAGAUGUUGCUGGCAACUCACCAAUUGGGUGAUAUAUUAAUUCCACCUGGAGAGAGAAGACAAAACUUAGUUUCAUGCAAUACAUGGAUAUGCUGGCAAGCAUCAAAGAAUCUCGACUGUCAAUGUAAGUUGCAGAAAUGGAAAUGGUAAGAAAGAAUACAAGCUGCUCUCCUGAUUGCCGCUAUAUCAAGUGAUUGCCAAUGUAUCAGUAUAUCACUGUCAGCAGAAUAUCACAGGACCCCACCAUCAUCAGUAUAUCUAGACCAAGAAAUGUUGAAGAAUGACCUGUAUGGAAAGGUAGUGCUGCAAAUUUGAUAAUAUAUGCACAACCGCGUCUGCAGUUGUUUUACACAACCAAAAUACAUUGAAAUAUAUCAAACUGAUGCCCGUUUUAAAUUGUUGGUGGUUGCACACAACGCGCUGACAGUUGAGCAAACUACGAUGGCGUACAAGUAUGCAAUAGUUAACAAAGAGGCUACUUGGCCCUGUGGGUCGCAUAUUGUGGAGUCCCAUACCACUAAGCUCCAAGCUUUAUACUAAUACCUUGCAUUACUUUCUGCCAUAUUCCAUAUAUAGUUCCAUAUCGCUGGCUUAGACUCAUACUUCUCAUCAUCACCAGCAUUGUCAAAAUGGGCGAGAGCAGAGGAAGCAUCGCCUUCUUUGCGUGCUACAGGCCUCCGGUGCCCCUCGACAUAUUCUGCUGUCCAGCUCCAGCAUCAUCAAGGGAGGAGGAGCGGCACUUGACGGAUGGCGUGUCGUACAACUACAACUGCCAACCCAUUCCAUCUGCGGCCCUCAAGUCGAUCGUCAAGCACCUAGAUCUGGCUCCUGAAGACGUUGAAGAAGCCGCCAUCGAUUCGGGCCGUCUCACCGGCCUCGUCUUCGUCUCUGAAAGACAGCACCACCUCGAGACUCUUCAUAUAGGCCUGCGCUUCGAUGAUGGCGACGAAGUCAGGGUCUUCACCUUGGGGGACAUCUAUGGCGGCGACUUUUUCAGUGGUGCCCGUCUGGAGGACAGCGGCUGCAUCGCAGGAGGCUACGAGGUGGAUGGCCACACAGCUGACCAUUACCUCGUCUUCGUGUCCACGAAGGAGCCUGUGCAAGAACGCCGCAGCCCGUGGAAUGUCGUCUACAAAACUAAUCUCAGAACAGGCGAAACUGAGCGCCUCACUCCACCAGGUAAUUUGGUUGUUGAAUCUUAUCUUCCUUUUGCUAUUUGAUCUACUACUUUGUACUUGUCUCUGGAUAUAUGAAUGACUAAUUAAGUUGAGUCCUUUCUGAAUUUGAUCUACUUCUACUUGUUCUUGGAUGCAUGGCUAAAUUUCUGCUUAAAUAAUAUUUGGUUGACCUGUUUAAUUCUACAUACACAAACAGGGACAUCCGAUUUAAGCCCCUCGGUGUCACCAUCUGGGAAGAGGGUAGCAGUGGCUUCGUUCCAAGGAAAGAAAUGGGAUGGUGAAGUUAAAGACUUGCUGACAAACAUUUACGUGAUGGACCUAGAGAGCACAUAUCUGGAGCGCGAGCGGGUGAUCGAGAACGCUGGCUGGCCAUCAUGGGGAAGCGAAACAGUACUAUUUUUCCAUAAAAAGGUUGGGGAUAACUGGGGUGUAUUUCGACACGACUUGAGCACCGGCGAGACCCUCCGUGUGACCCCGGAGGCAUUCGAUGCAGUGACUCCAGCAGCCAUUGAUGAGAGCAGAGUGGCUGUGGCAACCAUCCGCCAGAAGUCUGUGUUCACCGACGUCCGUGUUGAAGCGCAGUACCGUCACAUCGAGGUUUUUGACAUGGGUUUGCCGGAGGAGCCACUUCAAAUCACUCGGUGUACCAAGCCAAAAGGCGACCAUUACAACCCCUUUGUAAUGGAUGGUGGCAAGUACAUUGGCUACCAUCGUUGCAAAAGCGACCAUCUCGAGGUACCUACCCUUGUGGCUAUGCCCUAUGCACAAUGAUUUGCUUGUUCAGUAGUACACACUUGCACAGUUACAUUACAUUAAUUAUACUCCCCCCGUUCCAAAAGAUAAGGUGUAUUAGUUUUUUGAAGUCAAACUUGUGCAUGUUUGAGCAAGUUUUUAGAAAAAUAUAUUAAUAUCUAUAAUACCAAAUUUGUAUAAUUAGAUCCAUCAUGGGAAGUAUUUUCGUGUUUUAUUUAUUUUUGUAUUGUGGAUGUUAAUAUUUUAUUCUGUAAUCUUGGUAAAACAUACAUAUAUUUGAGUAACGAAAAUUGAUGCACCUUAUUUUCUGGAAUGGAGUAUGUAGUGAUGUCGUUCAAGCUGUCUAAAACAUUGUGUCUCCUGCAGCAUGGAGAUGAUGUCCCGAGGCGGUUCGACAAGCUGCAGUCCCAUCAUGAAGAUAUUGGUCUGUUUAGGGUUGCCGGUGCAUUCCCGGCAUUUUCCAAAGAUGGCUCCAAGCUUGCAUUCGUCGAUAACGAGUUCAAAGCCGUGUGGCUGGCCGAUAGUGACGGAAUGCGUGUUGUCUUCGAAGUAAGUACACCAUGUCCUUUUACCUUUUGGUUCAAAAGAAUGGAUGAUGUUACGACUGUUUAUGACUGGCCGAUUGUUAUUGACUAUGAGUGCUCUGUUUGUAUUUGUGUACUUGUACAUAUAGACGGAUGGUCCUGAUGGCGUCUUCUCACCGGUGUGGAACCAAAAAAAGGAUAUACUUUAUGUCUGUAUGGGACCGUCUUUCAAAGCCAACGAAAUAUUGGAGAUCUACGCCAUCCCUCACGUAUCGAGUGGUGCACGAGAGCGGCGACUGCUCACGAAGGGAAAAUUCAAUAAUGCGUUCCCAUCCACCAAUUCAGACGGUAAGGAAUUACCACUACCGCAGCCUUGCUUCAGUGGCUCCAUGAGUCCUCUCUAGUCCAUUCAAUAAGAAUGUUGUUUCCCUUGGCAUGGUGAUAACUUUGUAUACCUCUCACAAUGACCGCUGUAUAUUUACAUUUAUGUGUUUACGCUUGUACAGGGACAAAACUUGUUUUCCGAUCGACAAGAAAUGGGGGAGACAAAAAGUACAAGAAUCUAUACAUGAUGGACGCAGAGAUCGGGGAGGACGGCGGUGAAGCGGAACGGAUAACAGAGGGGGAUUGGAUUGACACACACUGCCAGUGGUCGCCAGACAGGGACUGGAUCGUGUUCUCGUCAAACCGUGACAAGCCCGCGGACGCUCCGGAGCGCGACCAUGGUAUGGACCCGGGGUACUUUGCUGUUUACCUGAUGAACGCAAUCGACCGCUCUGUGGUGAGGGUAAUCCGGAGCGGGUACGACUUCUCCGGGCACGUGAACCACCCGGUCUUCAGCCCGGACGGGCGGAGCAUCGUCGUGACGGCAGAUCUUGCCGCGGUGUCUGCUGACCCAAUGUCGCUGCCGCUCUUGUUGCACUCGCAGAGGCCCUACGGCGACAUCUUCACCGUUGAUAUCGACCCGGAUGACAUGGAGAAGAACCAGGAUGUGGAGGAGUUUGCCCGAGUCACGCAUAGCAGGUACGAGAACGCCACUCCUGACUGGACCGUGUUCUCAACUCAUGACCCGCAUGCGCAGUGGAACCUCCUGGUCAUGGAGGAGGAGUACACCCCGGCGUGCCCGUAUGCGCAUCAUGAUGGGGGUGAAAGCUGGCACAUGACAGGUCAGAUGUGCAUCCCGAAAAGGGUCUGUUGAUCUUACGCCGCUAUGUCGGAAUGGCCCGGAUAACUGUGCCUGUUUCGCGCUUGGGCUCAUACUGUUGCCUGGAUUUAUUGCUUGAGAUGUAUUUGUAAUUUCUGUUUGGAUUGCUGUCUAUUUGGGUUGGUGUUGAGGUGAUUUGCCCGGACCAUUUGCAUUCUACACAUUUCAUCUUGCUGUAAUAUAUAAGGCUUCAGAGUUUUAUAUGAUGAUUCUGAAUUGAGUAGCCCCUGCUUUUGUUGUGACAAGUUUUGUUAAACUUUCAUGACACAAGUACAUUAUUUAUCAAAACGUAAUGAUGAUAUAUUUACAUAGAAAGGUUUCGCGGAGGUGAUUUGCUACCUUUGACAGGAACGGUUUACAUCAUUCAAAUGCUCAGCAACUUGAAAUAGUUGUUCACACCUGCUGUGUGGUAAGUCCUACUAGCACCUAGCUCCCUAUCUUGCCAACAAAGUGUCUGCUCUCUCAACCGAGAUCCAACAACUUCAGCAACACAACCUGACCGGAUGGGAUGAAGCUGCCAACUUUGUACAAAGGUUUUCAUGAUGGUGUUCCUAAAUACCAGCACAGUGGCCCUCGCAAGCAAUAGCAUGACUUUUCAUACACUGGAAUUUUUUGAAGAUGCUUAUAUUAUGUAAACUGAAAUAUUUAGGUUAUAAUAUAGCCACUACAAUUGUUUUUGCUCAGAGAGUAUACUUGUGGAUUACUUCUUUAAUCAUAAAGUUUGUAGACUUAAUGAUUACUAUUACCAAUUCAGAAACACCAUAUUAUCAACCACAUGAGCGGAUGAGCCCAUAUUAUGUACUCCCUCCGUCCUAAAAUAAGUGUCUCAAAGUUGAUACACUUAUUUUGUGACGGAGAGAGUACUAUCUCCGUCUCAAAAUGUAAGAUGUUUUUGAGGCAUCCUAAAAAAACGUCUUAGGAGUACUUCUGUUAGAUAUAUGACUAUGAAUAUAAUACUAAUCAGCAUUGGCCACAUGACAUUCAGUGUAUAGUUUGACUUAUAUCAAGUGCUGAAUGUUGUUUAUGUAUAAUUAUCAAGAUAUUUUGGUUGACAUAUCAAAGGUAGGAUAAUGCUGAGAUACACUCAGCAUGUGUACUGUGUAUAAAAAAUUUAAAAUACAAAUUCAUAUAUGCAAUGUGUCAGAAAGACUAUACUACUGGAAACUUGUUUUGAAUACGAAUUCAAUAGUACAUAUUAAAGUGGUAUAGUUCUAUAUAGUAGAACGGUUCUAACACGAAUUGUGGUGGUUUGACCGUAUAACGCACGAUAUUACGAGUAGGCAGAUCAGCGUCCUCUCACAUAAUCAGAUGACCGCAAAAGCACGACAAACUUUUCCGCAAAGAAAAAAAGAGCACGAGGAACUGCAGGAAUAAUAAUUAAGCACAUAUAGAGCUAGAGAUGCGAUAACGACUUGGUGCAAACAGCAGCAGUUUAGAACCAGUACUCCUCACUUAACCCAUUACAUACCCAGGAGUGACACAUCUGGCGAGACAUCAACUAAGAUAGAUACCCAAAGCUCGAGCGGAACAUUCUCCACGUGCGUACCACGGUUGCUGGGUAUAGAAGAGCGGUACGUUGUCAUCACUCAUCAGUCAUAGUCCAAACAGAAAACACACGACGUAGAUCAGGAAGUAUGCGAGAGGGCCAAACGCGCAGCCGCAAAGAGAGCAGACGAUGGAGAUGAGCGUCCCCGCGGCGCCCGGCGCCAUCCCCGCCGGGCUGGAGAAGGCGUAGACGGCCACCACGACCGCCAGGAUCACCGCCAAAAUCAUGGCGGACGAGCUGAUGAUGAUGAUGCCCUGGAAGUGAACGGAGGGAGUCGGAAUGGAUCGAUGGCGAAGAACGAGUGUGGAAGGAAAGCGGGAUGUCGAACGUAUGGUAUGACUGGUGGGUUCUUAUACAGGCCUCCAGGCUCCAGCGCAGCAGGGUCGGGCGGACAAAAUCCGGAGCCCUGUGCCAAACUAAAAAAAUGAAGCCCUAUCUAACUAAAAUAUAACCUAACGAGCAAUUAUAAUGUAUAUAUUAAUAUAUAUCAAGCGGAAUUUUUUCAUAAUGUAUAUAAUAUAAUGUCUUACAUAACAACUGAACGUAUAAAAAAUCAUAUCUAUUCAACUCCUGACUGCUAUUUAUUUGAAAAACGUCAUUUUUUUAGUAUUCUUUGAAAUGAAAUCUUCAAUGAUAUCCUCGUAAUCAAUCUUCUCCAACACUUUACUCUCAAGUGCUAUUGUGGCCAAAUCAUUGAUUACCAGAUGACAUUUGCGGUACUUUUUUUUAACAAAUCUGUCCAUACCACCUUUAUAAGAUUUAUUAAUUAAAUUCUCUUCUUCUGCUUUUUUCUUGCGCUUGUAGGCACCCGACUGAUGUUUCCCCGUAAUGACUCAAAUUUGUAUUAUUGAAACACAAGAUAAAGAAGAUGAAUAAAAUAAAAUUGAAUUUAUACGUAGCAUAUAUCAAUUGAAGAUCAUGCGUCAAUGCUUGGGAAUUAGACGAACCGUCUAACUCAUCAAAUUUUCUGUCCUGUGAUCUUUAACCCGGGAGGUAAGAACCAAUCUAUAAUGAAGUAACGAUUCUUGUGAAUAAUUAAUUAGAAAAUUAAGAAUUGGGAUUUAGGAGUGGGAACCGAAGUUAAUUAAAAAGAAUGACUCGCUAAGCACCUGAAGGCUAGCGUCGGUGACCGAUCAAUCAGAUGAGAUGAUGUUGACGAGUCUGAAAUUUAAAAAAGGAGUCAAGAAAGUCAACAGCGGCACCACGGCAGUGACCUGUCGCUUAAGUCAGCCUGAAUCCGAAAUCGGAUCGGUCUAAGGAGUAAGGACCAAGGGCAGAGCGAGAGCUACCGAGGGACGAGGCGGGACAAGGCGUCGACGGUCAACCGGUCGACGUGACGAUGUCAAGGGCUCCAGGCGUCCAGCCGUGAGGGCUCCAGCGAUCCGAUCCGUAGGCUGUAGCGAUCUAAUGUUUUUUUUAUGGUAGCCAUCUAAUAUUUUUUAGAUAAUAACGUAGCUAAUUAGCUUUGCCCUCGUCGCCUUUUUUUUCCUGAGUGCUGCCUCGUCGCCCUCUCGUAGCGAUCUGGAGGAGUCCCAGCACUCCGUCCGCUCGAUGGCCUCGCUCUCACUCGAUGGGCCUAGUCGCUCGCCGCUGGCUCAGUUACGCUUAACUGUUAGUCUGUUACUACACCUACAUAAAAAAUAUGGGGCCCCCCAGAAUUUUGGGCCCUGUGCGGGCCGCACCUUUAGUACAACUGUGGGCCCGGCCCUGCAGCGCAGUCUGCACGAGUUAAUCGGUCCUCGGCCAGCGGUGAAGAAUUGAUGUUGCAUGUCUUCGGAACUACAAAGGCACGAGUUAAUCAGAGCUUCGCGUAGUAGGUUUGACCCGUUGUGAAGUUUAAGGGACUUGACUUGUGCGUGGUGUUUGACUGUACAAGGAUUUAUCACCUUCUUAUUGGUUCAUCUUUACCUCCGUUUGAUUUUUAAUUCAAGCUUGGCUGCUCUUCUUCACCUGAAUCGUGUGGUUCAAAUUUCUGAAAGUUGAGGUUUUUUAGAGGAGACCGAAAUUUCAGAAAGUACAGAAUCCACGGCCUUGUUUGAUACGGUGGGACGCUCAAUUUCUGAAAGUUGGCGUCCCAAUCUCCGCAAGAUGGUUUUGUUUAGCUUUGUGAAUACUUGUGCUCAAACUUUUAAUCUUUGUCUUCAGGAGAAACCUCCUGAGGGCUAUGCUAAAAUGAAUAUCAAUGCUGCUUUCUUUUUUUUUUCUUUGAAAAAGAGUGUUUUUUAUUGACUCAUACAGUAGCAUCGAGGGAUACAAUCAUGAUGAAUACACCCGGCCUUCGCAUAACUAAGAUGCACACAGCCAGCACAACACACACACACACACACACACACACACACACAAAAAUGAUCACGCUAGCAAAGGCAAAGUCAUGCAAAGACCAAAGCUAUGCCUAGGCGGAGGAAGAAAAGAACAAAAAACUGAAGCAAUGAAAACAACGAUUGACGAUGUACAACGGUGGCCAUCAGCCCCAGUCAUCUCUUGACAUCAUAAAGACUCCGAGAAGGGUUCUCCAAAAGCGACGCCUCCAACAAGGAAACGACGCACAAGCGCCGCCGUCGCCAAAUCCAACCACCAAGGGUCGGCUCACGGGUUUUCACCCUGAAGAGCAAAUCUGAGCAAACUCCGAGCAAUGCCGUCAUCAGAGUAACGACGUAAAGAACGCCGCCAUUGCCAGGUAUAACCAACUAGGUCAAACCAGAGUUUUCACCCCGGGGCUCUAGAUUGGGUACUCGAGAAGUACCACCCAAUGAAAAUCAUUUUAUGUUGUCUCCUCCACUUGCCUCGAUCCCAAUAGCUGCAUGUGUGCACGGUCCUUACGGCGAGUGAUGACCAUGCCUGAACGAGUAGGCUGACGAGACUCGACAAGAGCCACUCGCCAACACUCGAAGAAGUCUUUGACGGAGACGAAGGACAGCAGCACCACGAAAUCCCUAGUUCGGGACACUCCGAAGGCCAUGCACCAUCCGCACAAAUGGCAGCGUAGGCUGAUCUAUAUGAGACGACAGCAGACUCGCGGCCACUAACUCCGUGUCGUCCUCGCCAGGCACAGAUCAUACAGGUCCAAACCACUUGAGGUGACCACCGCCUGGUCGAUGCUGCUUUCUGACUUCCAUGAGGAGAAAUGGGCUACUGGAGCUGUGAUCAAAGAUGACCAUGGGCACUUUGUGCCGGCGAGUAACAGCAGAAUUGAACAUGUAAACUCGGCAGCUACUGCUGAAGCUAGAGCGUCCAAAGACGGGCUCAUCCUGGCAGGUCAAGUUGGACGCGAGAAGAUAAUUAUCAACUCGGACUGCCUGGAAGUUGUUCAAACUAUCAUGAUGGAGGUUUUUCAGCAACAAAAGCUUUGGCAAUAUACGAAGAGUGUGUGUUUUUAGCUAGGAAUUUCUCUCCUGUAAUCAUAAAACACUGUCCAAGGGAGAGGAAUAUUGUACUACUCAUGUAGAAGGAUCCCAGCCUUGUGUAUGGACGGGAGAUCCUCAAGUUUUCAUUGUAUCUAGCCUAGUGGACGAUGUAACUAUGUUUCAAACAUAAUAAAGUCGCUAUGAUGGCUUUUCCUCAAAAAGUUUUUUUAAUCUUUGUCGUAGUCCUAUUAUUGUAAUUUUUUGCAGAGAAGAGGCAAGUGAUGGAGAAAAUAGUAAAUUACAAAAAUAAUAAUCACAUUUGGUGCUAUGAUAUCAUGGAACAACCAUCUUUGAUGAAAAUUACAAAAAAGACCCCACCAACAUUGGGACAUGUGUAUAACAUACUCCCUUCAUUCCAUAAUGUAGUGCUUCCUCUAUCUCCGUGCUUCAACUUUGACUGUAAAUUUAACUACCAAGACCGAUUGCGGCGGAAGCAAAAAAUUAUAUCAAUGAAUUCGUAUUCGAAAGAAGUUUUUAAUUAUAUAUUUUUUUCUCCCACCGCAGUUGGUCUCGUUGGUUAAAUUUAUGGUCAAAGUUGCACCUCGAAAAGCGCGAGCGCACUAUAUUUUGAAAUGAAGGGAGUAGUACUGAUCUUGUGUUUUAACCGCUUGGGCCCAGUUGUCGGGUGGAACCAGAUCCUCUACCGUGCCCGAAGGCAUGUCAGAGAUGCCGUGCCUUCACUUUCCAGGAACGGUCGAACUAAUGGGCCUGUAGCCUACGAGCAGAACGGCCAAACUAAUGGGCCUGCUAUUUUGAUUGUCUUUUCUGUUUAUUUUCAGCAGCUUGACAACGUUUGGCUAAAAAAAACCUUGAGAACGGGAGGAUUACACAUUCGUUGAAUAGCAAAGCAAGAUUUUUUUUCCGCGAACUUCCAACCUAUUUUUUCCCAGAAAGAUCAGAUCUACUAUAAAAGUUGAUAAAUUAAAUCAAGAUGUUAUGCCUGUGGUGACUUUGUACAAUCUCAAGAUGCUAUUCCAGCUCAGUCUUUUGGAGGUGCUCAUACGGGUAGGGUGUACAUGCAUGAGUUCCUAGGGUGAGUGUAUGCUCAUGUAUAUGAGCGACUAUUCAAGGUCGGGUUUCUCAUGCCUCCCGCCAGUGUCUCUCUGGAGAUGGAAUAAGUUUCUCCCCGCCUAGUUCCCAUCCCGGUGAUGUUUCUAGCAUCAUCGGAGGGUGUGUGUGGAGAUUUGUCUCUGGCUGAUCUCGCGGGAUCCCAUCUUCGUUCGUCUGUGUUCAUGUGUCUAUAGGUUGGACCCUUCUGAUUUAUACUUCUAUUCAACAAUGGUGGUUGUUGUUCUAGUGUGUUGGUCUGAUGGAGCCUUAGCACAACAACUUCCCAACUGUCUACAACAGCAAGAUUUGCCUGGAUCCGAAGAGACACGGGCGAAGACGGCGGCGCACCUUCGGCUCGCUCUAGUGCUUGUAGUCAUUAGUAGGUUUCUACAGACUUGGAUGUAUUUUUUACUUCUUGUUUUCUUUGUACUACCUUGACAGUUGAUGAAUAAAUUAAAAAAAAUCUCGCAAACAAUAUUCUUUAUACGACAAAUGAUGAAUAGUGGUUGUUCGGUGAUUUCAGAAUCUCGAUGUAAAUUUUGAGUUGAUUUUGUACUUCCGAUGAACUUUUAGAAUACAUCUGAUUUUUCCGGAAAAAAUGGUUGGGUGUUUUCUGCAUAAAAAAUCUUGCUUUGCUAUUCAACGAACGUGUGAUGCUCCCGUACUCAAGGUUGGAUGUUUUUUUAGACAAACGUUGUCAAGCUGCUUUUUUUAGCGGUACAUUGUCAAGCUGCUGGAAAUAAAUCGAAGACUUUGUCCCCUAGGGUUUCCCUCUAGGGUCUACCUGUUCCUUCGGUGGCGCCGCCGAAGUCCACAUCAAAUCUACUAUAUUUCCCCGGCUUCUCACCGGCGGCUGGUAGCAACACAGGAGAUCCUACGGGGGUGCGCCCAAUCAUGAUGGAACCUGCAAGCGAUGGGCUCGGGGGUGUCCCCGAGGAAGGACAGACGGGGAUGGAGAAGCGGGAUGGUGAGGAAGUUGGGGUCGGCCAUGCCUCGGCCGAUCUGCCAGGAUCAGAUGUUCCAGAGGGAAGUGGGUCGGCUGGGAUGGAGGAGGUGGAUAUGGAGGAUGUAGAGGAAGAGGAUUGGGAUCGCUGUGGGCCUGAACCGAAUUUCGAGGAUGCGUUUGAGGGGUUGAACUUGCAUGGGGAGGAAGCGAAAGAUUUGGACGUAUCCGGUGAGGUGGAUGAUCUGGUCAAGGAUGUGUGGUGGCUGGCCCUUUUUAGGGUUCAUACGCUGCGCCCGUUCAGCCAUGCUGCUCUACUUAACUCCAUGAGAAAUGCAUGGUCGUGUGCGCAGGGUGUCGUCACACCUUUUCGAAUAUCAAAGUACCGAAUUUGUUCUUGGCCCAGUGCCACUGUCUAGGUGAUUGGAAGAGGGUAAUGGAAGGGGGGCCGUGGCAGUUUCGGCGUGAUCCUGUGGUGCUAGUGGAAUAUGAUGGCUUUACCAAUGUUACAGAAUACGCCCUGGACAUGUACCCGCUUUGGGCAAGAAUUAAGGGCUUGCCGGAUGGACUAACUAGGAAGAAAGAGCUCGCGGAGAAGGUGGCCAAGAAGGUAGGAGAGCCUCCCUUCACAGUGAUCGUGAACGAAGGGAAAAUAAAUCCUUCGAGCUACCUGAGAGUUAGAGUCUUUGUAAAUGUCAAUUCUCCUUUGGUUAGAUUUGUGCCCAUUACAUUGAAGGAGAAGAAGAAAUAUCCAGUAUAUUAUGAAAAGCUCCCGGACUUCUGCUAUUUUUGUGGCUGUAUGGGGCAUGUGGUUGAAGAGUGCGGAGAUAGCAUACAUGACCCAAGUACUUGUGAAUGGGGUGAGUACCUCCACUGGAUAAAUGAGCCUGUUGGCAAUGGGCCCAAAGGGGGCCGAGGUGGUUGGGGUUUUGCUGGAAGAGGGGGUAGCACGUUUGGUAAUGGGCACCGUGGGGGUGGAGUUGGUGCAAGGGGAAGAGGUGCAUGAGGAGGAAAUAAUUCAACAAGGGGCUAUAGUGGGGGGAUGUGGAUACGGGUAUGGAUGAGAUGCCAGGAAGUAAUCAUUUUAACUCAAUGGACAUAAUAAGGGAUGAUAGGAGUGCUCGGAAGAGACUGAUCCGCGAUGAUGGCACUAUUAAUGUGCGCGGACAACCUGUACCCAAUCUUGCUGGGAAGGUUGCAGGUACAGUUUUGCUGAUUGAAAAAGGGGAAGUAGCUGAAAACAGUGUUAGAUUGGAACCCAGUACGACCCCCAGAAAAAUACCUAUUGUGAAGCGUAGGAAGCAAGGUGAUGGUGAUGCAGUUUCUGAUACAGCUAGGACAGCCGAGGCGGCCUCCGAGAUGGAGGACCGCCGGUCCCAAUGAAUCUCAUUAGUUGGAACUACCAGGGAGGGGGCCGGGAAUACCCGGACAGUUCGAGAAGUGGCGACUUUUAUUAGGUCGCAUUCCCCCAUGUUGGUGUUUUUGUGUGAAACAAGACAGUCCAAGGAGAGAAUGAAAAAACAUCGAUCAAGGUUUGGAUUGAAAGGCUUUGAUGGUGUGGACAGCAAUGGUAACAGUGGAGGUUUGGCGUUGUAUUGGCAUGAAUCGGUUAUGGUUAAUGUUGUUUUUUUCAAAUCAGAGGUGCAUAGACGCACAUGUUAAGCUAGGGACAGAUGAAGAUACAUGGCGUCUAACUUGUGUGUAUGGAGAACCAAGAGUUGAAGAUAGACACAAUAUGUGGUCACUCCUUAACAAUAUGAGCGCUCAAUCUGAUCUGCCGUGGUUCGUAGUUGGAGAUUUCAAUGAAUGUAUGUGGGACUUUGAGCACUUCUCAUCAACGCCUAGGCAUCAAAGGCAGAUGCAAGCUUUUCGUGACUCAUUGGAGAUUUGUGACCUUGCUGACUUGGGGUUUUCUGGAGUCCCACGCACGUAUGGUAACAAAAGGAGUGGCAAUGGUAAUGUUAAAGUUCGCCUAGAUAGGGCGGUGGCUUCCCCGUCCUGGCGCAACCUCUUCGAGCAGCCGUCAGUUCGUCACCUGAUCUCACCGGUGUCAGAUCAUGUGACCUUGCAUGUAAGCUGUGAUAGAUUUGUGGGCAUGCAUGUUAAAAAGAAAUUUAGGCAAUAUGAAGUAAUGUGGGAAAGGGAGCCGGCGCUCCAAGAAUUAAUCACGCGUGCCUGGGCGGAUGCAUGACAGAAAAGGUGCAUGGGUGAUGUACAUGCGGCCCUUAGAGCCAUGAUGCAUAAGCUCUACGCAUGGAGUAAGGAGAAAUUUGGCAGCAUGACUAGAGAAAUAGAGAAGACAAGAACACGGCUUGAGGAGUUGAUGCUUAUGAAUGCGGAUAGAUGUGAGAUUCAACGAGUUACUGAUAAGUUGAAUGAACUAUUAUACAGAGAGGAGAUGAUGUGGCUGCAGCGGUCUCGAGUGGAUUGGUUGAAAGAAGGCGAUCGCAAUACAAAGUUUUUUCAUGCAAGAGCUAUUUGGAGAGCUAGAAAGAACAGGAUCAAGAAACUAGUAGAUGAACAAGGUACUGUUCACAUGGAAGUCAGAGAGAUGGGAGAUGCAGCCUCUGCUUAUUUUGGAAAUAUCUUCAAGGCUGGCCCCUCACUUGAUUCUUCUCCCGUCACAAACCUGUUCAGUUCUGUGGUCACCGACGAGAUGAAUGAUAAUUUUAUGUGCAGAUUGUUCUGAGCAGGAGAUCGCCGAUGCCCUGUUUCAGAUCGGUCCCUUGAAGGCGCCGGGGCCCGAUGGCUUUCCCGCGCGGUUCUUCCAGAGAAAUUGGGCGACUAUGAAGGAAAGUGUAGUUGUUGCGGUAAAGGAGUUUUUUCGCACAGGUAUCAUGCCACCACACAUUAACGACACUAUUAUUGUCAUGAUUCCGAAGGUGGAUAGUCAGGUAAAGAUUACAGACUUCAGACCAAUCAGUUUAUGUAACAUCAUUUACAAAGUGGUGUCCAAGUGCUUGGUGAAUCGAUUGAGGCCUGUUUUAGAUGAUAUAAUAUCUUCUUCUCAGAGUGCGUUCAUCCCUGGGUGUAUGAUCACUGAUAAUGCUUUCAUAGCGUUUGAGUGCAUUCACCACAUAAAAUAGGAAAAGGACCCCACUAGGAGUUUCUGUGCUUAUAAACUGGAUCUCUCUAAGGCAUAUGAUAGAGUGGAUUGGAACUACCUUAAGCAGAUGAUGCAAAAGAUUGGCUUCGUUCACCGGUGGAUAGACUGGAUAAUGUCGUGUGUGACCUCGGUGAGAUACUCCGUAAAAUUCAAUGGAGCCAUCUUGAAUUCAUUUGCACCGUCGCGUGGCCUACGGCAAGGUGAUCCGUUAUCCCCUUAUUUGUUCCGUUUUGUUGCAGAUGGUCUCUCGGCUCUCAUUAACAAGGGGGUGGAAACUGGGAAUUUGUCACCACUGAAAAUAACAAGGAGAGCCCCCGGAAUAUCACAUCUUUUGUUCACAGAUGACACGUUAUUGUUCUUCAAGGCUAAUAUUGAUGAAGCUAACCAUAUUAGGAGCAUUUUGGAUGUUUACGCGGCUGCUACAGGACAACUUCUAAACCCCUCCAAAUGUUCUAUGCUGUUCGGAAGUUCCUAUCCUGCUGGGUCUUUGGAAAGCGUUAAGCAAAUGUUGCAGGUUACUGCAUCGGAUUUUGAGGAAAAGUACUUGGGCCUACCAACACCAGACGGUAGGAUGUCAAAAGGGAAUUUCCAAAAUUUACAAGUUAAAAUGACAAACCGCCUGUUUGCGUAUGAUGGCCAUCCUACACACGCUGGGAAAGAGGUUCUUAUUAGAGCAAUUGCUCAAUCUAUCCCGACCUACAUCAUGAGUGUAUUCAAACUCCCCAUGGAGCUUUGUGACGAUCUGAAUCGCUUAAUUCGCAACUAUUAUUGGGGUGCAGAGAAGGGAAAGCGGAAGACUCAUUGGCAUGCAUGGCAUAAAAUUACUCGGCCAAAGAAACAAGGUGGCCUGGGUUUCAAAGAUUUUCGCUUGUUCAACCAAGCCUUGUUGGCACGCCAAGCCUGGAGGAUUCUGGAGUUUCCAGAUUCUUUGUGUGCCAAGUUACUUAAAGCCAAAUACUUCCCAAAUGGACACCUCUUGGAUACUGUUUUUGCUGGAAACCCAUCGCCUACUUGGCAAGCGAUUGUCCAUGGGUUAGAGCUCUUGAAAAAAAGGCAUGGUUUGGAGGAUUGGGACGGACCAAAAUGUCCGUAUAUGGAGGGAUCGAUGGAUUGUUAGGGAGCCAUCUGCUGGCCUUAUUUCUCCACGAGGGAGGUGCCGCCUCAAAUGGGUCUCGGAGCUCAUAAACCUCCAUGGUAAUUGGGACAUGGAUAAACUAACGUAGUUUUUUCUCCCAGUGGAUAUUGUGGAAAUCUUGAAAAUCCAUUUGUUUACUCGCUUUGGGGAGGAUUUCUUGGCAUGGGCACAACGGUAUGUUCUCUGUCCGGAGUGCAUACAAACUUGCUAGUGAUGAGUUGAUGAACCCACGGGGACACUCCUCCAGCGCCAGAUCGGAUGGCACACGGGAGUGCUGGAAACACAUUUGGAAAAGUACGGCUCCACCAAAAGUUCAGAGUUUUGCGUGGAGAUUGGCCACAGACUCAUUGGCAAACUGGACUAACAAAGUCAAAAGGAAACUAGAGGUGUCACCGUUAUGUACAGUGUGUGGUAUGGAAGAGGAGGAUUUAUUCCAUGUGUUCUGCAGUUGUAAUCAUGCGAGGGUGCUAUGGAAGCUGAUGGCAAAGGAGUAGAAGCUCCCACCUAGAUCUUUGUUAAAGCCGGCCGGCUCUGAUUGGUUUAUCAAACUCUUGUCUGAACUGAAUGAUGAAGGCAGAGUGCAUGUGUUUAUGUUGUUUUGGAGAAUCUGGUUUGUUCGUAAUGAGAUUGUCCAUCACAAGCAGCUACCUCCAAUGGACGUGUCAGUGUAGUUUUUGUCUAGUUACCUGUCCUCACUUUAUAACAUCAAAGCCGAUCUACACUAUGAUCCUAUCAAAGGGAAAGUCGUCGUGGAUACAGGUUUUAAUCCAAUACCAUCUGUUGGCUGCUCUGUAGAUGGGUGGUUGAGGCCCCUUGGACUAAACCGGACAUUGGUAGAGUGAAACUAAACACAGAUGCUUCAGUGGCUGGAGGGGAAGCAGGAUCUGGUAUGAUUCCAAGGGAUCAUGAGGGUUCCAUUAUCUUCACUUCAUGUAGACACAUACAGGGAUGCUGUGAUGUUCUGGAAGCCGAGCUCCUGGCCUUGCGAGAGGGUAUUUUGCUGGCGUUGCAAUGGAGCAACUUACCCUUGGAUAUUGAGUCGGAUUGUCUGGAAGCGAUCAAGAUGAUAAACAGAUGCAGUAGUAACAAGUCUAGGUUUGCUUUCAUUAUAGGAGAGAUCACCAGGAGUUUGGGGGAACGAAGUUCUUGCAUUGCUCAUACUCGUCGGAGUUGUAAUAGGGCUAGUCAUUCCUUGGCUAACUUUGGUAGGUUGCAUCACCGAACUGUUGUUUGGCUAGGCUCUGGUCCGGAGGAAGUCCUGUAAACCAAAGUGAGUAAUGCAUGAACUUUAUACCGCAAAAAAAAGCUGCUGGAAAUAAACAGAAAAGACAAUCAAAAUACCAUGCCAUUAGUUGGGCCGUUCUGCUUGUAGGCUACAGGCCCAGUGUGCCCGUUUUACUAGAAAGCAAGAAGGCACGACACCUCUGACGUGCCUUCGAGCACGGUACAGGAUCUGGUUCCUUGUCGAGUUGGCACCGAUACAAGCUGGGUGGCCGACAAAAGUUAGGGCGUUUCAUUUUUUGCCCAGCCAAUCCCUCCCAUUCGACCCCUUUUCCCACACUUUGGAUUCCAUGGUGACAGGUGGUGGAGGUGUCAGUGGUGGAGGUCUGGCGGCGAUGGUGCUGCUUGUGCCGAUAGUGGUGGUGGUUCGCUGAUCUGGAGGACAAAAGGAAGCGGAAGAAUCGGUGGUGCCACAUGUCCACAUGGUAUGCCAAGCAUCGUGCAGCGGACCUUCAGAAAUCAUUUGAGCAAAAAAUUACCCUACCUAGCUAUACUAUCAGUGUGGUUGGGCCAUGGUUGUAGUGUCGAGAUGUAUGCGAACAGUCCCGGUGCCUUGGCCCACAGCGACGACUCGUAGGUGAUUUCGGCGCGUCCCGGCCAUGAGCGUGUAGUGGAGGCAGUGGCGAGGUGUCUUUCCUAGCCUGAGCCAGGGAGAGGGAGAGCCGAUGGCGGUGGUGCGCGACAGUGGUGCUAGCAGAGGCUCGUCAGAGCACCGCGACUACUUCCUUGAUCUCAAGACGAUCAUCAUCGAAGAGAAGGAGGAAGAAAGAGAGGGAGAGGGGGAGAGCAGCCAGUGGUUGUCGAUGCGGUGUCCAGUGGUUGCCAGAGCGUCAUCCAUGUCAUCAGUAGAAGAAGACCUCAGCCAUUUGAUCUGGAUAGAUGGACGAAUGCGAUCGCAAUCCAUGAGAUGGCCAAGCCGACCUAUCAAAACCCACAAGAGGGCUUUCAUGCUUUGCGAGUGUUGCAUUCAUUAAACACUCAAUUCUUUGUCGAGUGUUGCACUCGACAAAGUUAUUUUAUAUGACUUGGAAAAUAUUUAACUUGUAUACUCAAUUUUUUUUAUCUUAUACAUCUAAAUACAAUUUUUUUACAUGUAAUAUACAACAUAUGAGUUAUUUUGUAGGAGUUUCCAUAAUUUUGAAUUGAUUUAGUCUUUUCUAAAGUAUAAAUGCAUUUGAUUGCUCAAAUAUAGCAAAUGGACCCUUAAAAUGCGAAACUUUGACUAUGUUACAUAGAAGUGCAAUGAAGUGCUUCUUCAAUCCCGUCUUCUUCCUCCAAUCCCUCAAAGUAGAACUGGCUAGACAACCUACUCAUGCCUCAUGUGGCCGGCGGCGCUUCCACACACUCAUUGCUUCUCCACCCUCCCUAAGCCAUCGCACAGACCAUUCCUCCAGCCAGUUGUUGUUUUCUGCAUGUUUUUGACUUCUCAGAAAAUUAAUAUCUACGGAGGUACAAAUACUUGUGGAUUUAAUACAAUUUUUUCGCGACACGAGGAAUCCAAAGGUACCGGAGCUAGAUGAGAGGACCCACAGGGCCUCCAUGUGGGUAGGGGUGUGGCUAGGGGCUGACCCGUGCCCUUAGGACGCGUGGGCCCCUAUUAACCGCCUUACGUCCAUUCUUUGCCUAUAAAUUCCAUAAUUCGAGAAACCCUCAGUACCAAUUUUCUUUGAUUUUUUCUGCCGUCGCAAGUUCCUGUUUCAAGGAGAUCCAAUUUGGAGGCUUGUUCCGGCACCCUGGUAGAGAGGGAAUCCAUCAACAAAGGCUUCUUCAUCAACCUUGCUGUCUCCAUGACCAUGUGUGAGUAGUUACCUUAGGACCUUAGGGUCCAUAGCAGUAGUUAUAUGACACUCUCUUGUUCUUCAAUACUACAUUCUCGUGAGCUGCCUCACAUGAUCGGAUCUAUCUUAUGUAAUCUGUGAUGUGUUUGUUGGGAUAUGAUGGAUAGUCACUUUACAGAUUGUUCAUUGAAAUCAAUUGAAUCCUUUGAAGUUUCUUUGUUUUAUAAUUGAAUAGCUUUUUAUGCUCUUCGAUCUAUUUGUUUCCUUUAACUAAGUAUGAUGGGUAGUUCCAUAGAGGGAAUUGUGCAUUGUAGUGGGUUAUAAUCUUGCGGUGAUUUAUAUCCCAGUGAUAAUAAGGGACAAGAUACAUAUUGUAUUGUUGCCACUAAGAACAAAGCCCUAGUUUCUUGUCAUAUUAUUUGAUAUUUUACUAUCUAUAUUAUGUCAUCUUACUUAUUGCAAUGCUCUUUUUGUCAUGAAAUUAAUACUUCGGGGUGCAUGCUGGAUAGCGGUUCUGGGUUGGAGUAUUAGUUAUAGAUACAGUCCGAUAACGGUCUACAUAUCACUGAUGUAAUGCCUAUAUGAGAUUAUACCAUGAACAAUCACAUUCAUAAAUAUAAAUAUUACAAUUUAAUCGCUGCACAACUGUAAUUUGUUCACCACACCACACUUUAAUGCUUAUGAGAGAUUCCACUAGUGAACAUAUGCCCCCUGGGUCUAUUAUCUAUUAAUGAAAACCUUAUCAAAAAUAUUACUUUUUGUUAUAUCAUUUCGUUUAAUUUAUCUUUUAUCAAUUCCUACCAUACCAUGCAAUUUAAUCUUGUAAAAAGCAACACAAGAAGCUUGACAUCCUUGUUUAUAUUUUUGAUAAGCUUGUUUUGUGCCUUGUGUACAGGUACCAAUGACUUUGUUUGCUGGAAGAACUCCUUUUGGUUCGACAAACCUUGGUUCUCUACUAAGGAAAAUAUUUAUUGCUAGGUUACUUCAUCCUUAUACUUGGGGGGGGGGGGGUACCCAACCACUCUUAGAGAGAGUAAGCAAUGCAUCAUUGUGGUCACGACAUCUUGGACCUCGACCUAACGCAUAAUCGAGUGACGUGAAACAAAUUUUGAGGAAGAAAAGAGGUGCCUCCUAAUGGGAAGCUGACAUGUGAGACCCACUGAAAGCACAAGUGCUCCCUGGGUGAUUUUGGUAAUUAAUGCCAACAUAUCUCUUGUUGUACUAAUGUUUCCACCUAGUAUGUUUCAGACAAGUUCAACAAUGGAGUGGCAUGGACUAUAGGAUGUGGAACCCCUUCAAUAUGCUAAGGACAAAGGAUUGGCUCAAGCUCAAAGCUCAGGACUCUACAUUCUCUAUUUUAGCGAUCCAAGAUCACAUUGAGUCCAUAGGAAAGCCAAUACUAUUAAGAAGGGAUGAGGUGUUCUUAAUGGCUUGUUUGCUAAAAGUGCUUAGUGAUAUGCUCCAAAGCCCUCAACCACUUUCUCACUUCCAAAUUUGUCCCAAACCAAAAGUCAAACUCGGCCCCACCGAUUCUUUCUAUUCGGAGCCACCGACACUAGUACAGAACCGGGCUUUAGCGCCGGUUCGUAAGGGCCUUUAGUGCCGGUUCCACAACCGGCACUAAAGAGUGGGGACUAAAGGUCCACCCUUUAGUACCGGUUCAUCACGAACCGGCACUAAAGUGCCACCACGUGCCACGAGCCAGGCCCGGGUGCAUGUAGGUCAUUAGUACCGGUUGGUAACACCAACCAGCACUAAAUGUUUUGGUUUUAUUUUUUAUUUUUCCAUUAAUUUUGUGUUUUCCAUUUAAUUCUUUUUUGUUUGCUGAUAUUUUACGAUACUACGUAUUGUACACGUUAUGCAUAUAUAUAAAUAAAUUUUCUCGUAGAACAUAUAUAUAUAUAUAUCAUUGAAUGUCUAACAACCAUCAUUAAUUAUUCACACAUACACAUGUAUAUAUAUAUACAAUUUCUCCUACUUGUUGCCUUGGUGCCUUUGGAGCACGAUAAUAAGUGGUUCAUGGGGCGAUAGCGGGUAAUAGUAUUUUUCUUUCGGAUCUAUGACCUGGUAGAGCAAAAAUCCCGCUAUUUACUCUUGAAGUGCUAGUAUGCGCUCCGUUGUUAGGAGCUUCUCCCGCACCUCUUUGAACUGUUAAGAAGGAGAUCAAUAUGCAUGUGUAUUAGUUGUGUGAAUAGAUAUCGAUAAUGAUGUAAAUAUUAUGAAUAGUGUUCUGGAAAACGUACCAAUUCCUGUCUUUGAGAUUCGCUCCUUUCGGACGCCAUCAUGCGAAUGUUCUCGCAAACGUAGUAUGCACACAGAUUAUUCCCCAGAGCCUGCCUUAGGGCCUUUACAAGAAUGGAAUUUAAUCAGAUAAUAAUUAAUCAAGCAUGAUAAAUAAUUAAUGGUAUUGAAACAAGAAUUAAAGAGAUGGUAAGCUAGCUAGUAAUACUUACUUACUUACCU
RNAcentral lists this long non-coding RNA (66962 nucleotides) under Triticum aestivum (bread wheat). Its description in RNAcentral is "long non-coding RNA (TAES_LNC009751)". The stretch from base 43134 to 43268 matches the Rfam family "MIR1120/MIR1122 microRNA precursor family". The record is from RNAcentral. Lineage: Eukaryota; Viridiplantae; Streptophyta; Magnoliopsida; Poales; Poaceae.